ACUUCCACCAAAGCGAUAUCCAACAUCUCAUCGAAAGACGGGACACCUUUGCCUCUAUCAAGUGGUAUCAGAUUUCCAGGUUGCUCGGUGAGAUUUUACAGUUUUUCGUAGUUUAGAUCGAGUCUGUUCUUCAUACCUACAGUCCACGAAAAAGCCACAAAAAAAAUUAGGGUUAGUUCAUCAUAUCCGAACCAAUCUGAGCCUUUGCAUAAUCUUUUUAGGGUUUUGCUUUGUUGAAUUUGCGGUUGCAUCGUCGUGUCUAGUUGCUGGUCUUAGAGUCUAGUCUUUUAGAGUUUCGAGUUCUGGUCAUAAGUUGUCACGCUGCCGCCGCACCAUCAUCAUCGCCCCUGCCAUCUACCACCACCGCUCCGAAUCCGUAUCCAUAUACCACCACCAAUCCGUGUCCAUAUACCACCACCGAUCCAUAUCCAUAUACUACCACCACCGCUGCCAUAUACCACCACCAUAUAUCCACCACCAAUCCAAGUUCCUUGAUUAUUAGGGUUGUUUUCGAGAUCCAUCUAGUUUCCGAUUCGUGUUUCCUUGCCGGAGUAGGUUUCGGAAAAAAAAAUACUAUUGUUUCAGAUCGUGAUACUAAAUUUCUUAACCACUUUUGGAGAUGUUUAUGGGCUAAGUUGGGGACUAAACUGCUUUUUAGUACUACUUGUCACCCCCAAACUGAUGGACAAACUGAAGUAGUCAAUAGAACGUUGUCUACUAUGCUUAGGGCUGUUUUGAAGAAUAAUAAGAAAAUGUGGGAGGAAUGCUUGCCUCAUAUUGAAUUUGCUUAUAAUCGUUCAUUGCAUUCUACUACUAAGAUGUGCCCUUUUGAAGUUGUGUAUGGUUUCCUACCUCGUGCACCUAUUGAUUUGUUGCCUCUUCCAUCUUCGGAGAAGGUUAAUUUUGAUGCUAAACAAUGUGCUGAAUUGAUUUUAAAAAUGCAUGAGUUAACUAAGGAAAAUAUUGAGCGUAUGAAUGCCAAAUAUAAACUUGCUCGAGAUAAGGGUAGAAAACAUGUUGUGUUUGCACCUGGAGAUCUUGUUUGGUUACAUUUGCGUAAGGAUAGAUUUCCUGAUUUGCGCAAAUCAAAGUUAAUGCCACGUGCUGAUGGUCCCUUUAAGGUGUUAGAGAAAAUAAAUGAUAAUGCAUAUAAACUUGAGCUGCCUGCAGAUUUUGGGGUUAGUCCCACUUUUAACAUUGCAGAUUUGAAGCCUUAUUUGGGUGAGGAAGAUGAUCUUCCGUCGAGGACGACUUCAUUUCAAGAAGGGGAGGAUGAUGAGGACAUCAAUACAAUUGUUACACCCACAGCCCCUGCUGCUAUACAUACUGGACCAAUUACUAGAGCUCGUGCACGCCAACUAAAUUACCAGGUACUUUCGUUUCUUGGUAAUGAUUCUAAUGUUCAUGAGAAUAUGAUGCUGCCUAAAUUGGAUACAUUUGUUUUGCUUACAAAUGAAGGGCCUUGCUUGGAGAAGGAUGAACAUUGGAGCAAGAACAAGCAUGGAGAUGAUGGCAUGCGCAAGGGGAACAAGAACGGAGUUACAAGUGAUGAUUUCAGGACUUUGAAGCCACCAUAAUGGGUGCAUGAAGCCUUGGACGAAAUAUACAAGAUGCCACUUCAUAAAUUUCGUCCCGAGGCUAUUUUAGGUGCUGCGUCACCUUAUUAUUGGGCCAGGCCCAUGUAAUUUCGAAAUACAUAAGUAUAGGCUAUUUUUAGAGUACGUAUGUGUGGGGAAACAAGAGAUAGGGUUGAUUUCGGACCCCUCCACCAAGGGCCACGAAAUUCCCCCCCUCUUCCUCCAUAUAUACAGCCCUUAGGGCAUCGUUUAGACUUCGGGUUUUGUUUAGAUUAAAAGUUCGCCAUAGCUGCAACUUCGCGUACUUCGUUUGUGUUCAACGACCAGACAAAGGCGUCAUAGAACCCCACCUUGAUCAAUAAAGCUUUCAUCUUAUAUUCGCAAUAUGAUAGAGGCAAAGGUGUCCCGUCUUUCGAUGAGAUGAUGGAUUUCGCUUUGGUGGAAGUCGACUUUGACGAUCCGACUACGAACGUGCGAGGACGUCGCGCCUUAGCAAUCGCUAAACCAACUCCGAGAGGUUAUUGACCACGCCGGAGCACGAUCAACCUGACCACGAGGGUCUGUUUCCUGCGAGCAAAUGAAGAACAAGCAAGAAACUGAGAUUGCAAUCUGGAUAUUGCGAAUAUAAGAUGAAAGCUUUAUUGAUCAAGGUGGGGUUCUGUGACGCCUUUGUCUGGUCGUUGAACACAAACGAAGUACGCGAAGUUGCAGCUAUGGCGAACUUUUAAUCUAAACAAAACCCAAAGUCUAAACGAUGCCCUAAGGGCUGUAUAUAUGGAGGAAGAGGGGGGAAUUUCGUGGCCCUUGGUGGAGGGGUCCGAAAUCAACCCUAUCUCUUGUUUCCCCACACAUACGGACUCUAAAAAUAGCCUAUACUUAUGUAGUUCGAAAUUACAUGGGCCUGGCCCAAUAAUAAGGUGACGCAGCACCUAAAAUAGCCUCGGGACGAAAUUUAUGAAGUGGCAUCUUGUAUAUUUCGUCCAAGGCUUCAUGCACCCAUUAUGGUGGCUUCAAAGUCCUGAAAUCAUCACUUGUAACUCCGUUCUUGUUCCCCUUGCACAUGCCAUCAUCUCCAUGCUUGUUCUUGCUCCAAUGUUCAUCCUUCUCCAAGCUAGGCCCUUCAUUUGUAAGCAAAACAAAUGUAUCCAAUUUAGGCAGCAUCAUAUUCUCAUGAACAUUAGAAUCAUUACCAAGAAACGAAAGUACCUGGUAAUUUAGUUGGCGUGCACGAGCUCUAGUAAUUGGUCCAGUAUGUAUAGCAGCAGGGGCUGUGGGUGUAACAAUUGUAUUGAUGUCCUCAUCAUCCUCCCCUUCUUGAAAUGAAGUCGUCCUCGACGGAAGAUCAUCUUCCUCACCCAAAUAAGGCUUCAAAUCUGCAAUGUUAAAAGUGGGACUAACCCCAAAAUCUGCAGGCAGCUCAAGUUUAUAUGCAUUAUCAUUUAUUUUCUCUAACACCUUAAAGGGACCAUCAGCACGUGGCAUUAACUUUGAUUUGCGCAAAUCAGGAAAUCUAUCCUUACGCAAAUGUAACCAAACAAGAUCUCCAGGUGCAAACACAACAUGUUUUCUACCCUUAUCUCGAGCAAGUUUAUAUUUGGCAUUCAUACGCUCAAUAUUUUCCUUAGUUAACUCAUGCAUUUUUAAAAUCAAUUCAGCACAUUGUUUAGCAUCAAAAUUAACCUUCUCCGAAGAUGGAAGAGGCAACAAAUCAAUAGGUGCACGAGGUAGGAAACCAUACACAACUUCAAAAGGGCACAUCUUAGUAGUAGAAUGCAAUGAACGAUUAUAAGCAAAUUCAAUAUGAGGCAAGCAUUCCUCCCACAUUUUCUUAUUAUUCUUCAAAACAGCCCUAAGCAUAGUAGACAACGUUCUAUUGACUACUUCAGUUUGUCCAUCAGUUUGGGGGUGACAAGUAGUACUAAAAAGCAGUUUAGUGCCCAACUUAGCCCAUAAACAUCUCCAAAAGUGGCUAAGAAAUUUAGUAUCACGAUCUGAAACAAUAGUAUUUGGCACACCAUGCAAGCGAAUAAUUUCACGAAAGAACAAAUCAGCAACAUUAACAGCAUCAUCGCUUUUAUGACAUGGUAUAAAGUGUGCCAUUUUCGAGAAUCUAUCCACGACAACAAAUAUGCUAUCCCUCCCCUUCUUUGUUCGAGGUAAACCUAAAACAAAGUCCAUAGAUAUAUCCUCCCAAGGAACACUAGGUACAGGCAAAGGCAUAUAUAAACCAUGAGGAUUGAGUCGUGACUUAGCUUUUUGACAUGUAGUGCAGCGAGCAAUAAAACGCUCAACAUCCCGUCUCAUCUUUGGCCAAAAGAAAUGUGUAGCAAGUACGUCCUCCGUCUUCUUCACGCCAAAGUGUCCCAUUAAUCCUCCUCCAUGCGCCUCCUGCAACAACAAAAGACGAACGGAGCUAGCUGGAAUGCAUAGCUUGUUAGCACAAAACACAAAUCCAUCAUUAACGACGAACUUGUUCCACAUUCUUCCUUCUUUACAAUUCUGCAUUACAUCUUUAAAAUCAGCAUCAUGCACAUAUUGAUCUUUGAUGGUCUCCAAACCAAAUAUUUUGAAGUCAAGUUGUGAAAGCAUAGUAUAGCGGCGAGACAAUGCAUCAGCAAUAACAUUUUCUUUUCCCUUCUUGUGUUUAAUGACAUAAGGAAAAGUCUCAAUGAAUUCAACCCAUUUAGCAUGUCUACGAUUCAGUUUAGCUUGACUUUUAAUAUGUGAUGAGGACAUCAAUACAAUUGUUACACCCACAGCCCCUGCUGCUAUACAUACUGGACCAAUUACUAGAGCUCGUGCACGCCAACUAAAUUACCAGGUACUUUCGUUUCUUGGUAAUGAUUCUAAUGUUCAUGAGAAUAUGAUGCUGCCUAAAUUGGAUACAUUUGUUUUGCUUACAAAUGAAGGGCCUAGCUUGGAGAAGGAUGAACAUUGGAGCAAGAACAAGCAUGGAGAUGAUAGCAUGCGCAAGGGGAACAAGAACGGAGUUACAAGUGAUGAUUUCAGGACUUUGAAGCCACCAUAAUGGGUGCAUGAAGCCUUGGACGAAAUAUACAAGAUGCCACUUCAUAAAUUUCGUCCCGAGGCUAUUUUAGGUGCUGCGUCACCUUAUUAUUGGGCCAGGCCCAUGUAAUUUCGAAAUACAUAAGUAUAGGCUAUUUUUAGAGUCCGUAUGUGUGGGGAAACAAGAGAUAGGGUUGAUUUCGGACCCCUCCACCAAGGGCCACGAAAUUCCCCCCUCUUCCUCCAUAUAUACAGCCCUUAGGGCAUCGUUUAGACUUUGGGUUUUGAUGAGGACAUCAAUACAAUUGUUACACCCAUAGCCCCUGCUGCUAUACAUACUGGACCAAUUACUAGAGCUCGUGCACGCCAACUAAAUUACCAGGUACUUUCGUUUCUUGGUAAUGAUUCUAAUGUUCAUGAGAAUAUGAUGCUGCCUAAAUUGGAUACAUUUGUUUUGCUUACAAGUGAAGGGCCUAGCUUGGAGAAGGAUGAACAUUGGAGCAAGAACAAGCAUGGAGAUGAUGCCAUGCGCAAGGGGAACAAGAACGGAGUUACAAGUGAUGAUUUCAGGACUUUGAAGCCACCAUAAUGGGUGCAUGAAGCCUUGGACGAAAUAUACAAGAUGCCACUUCAUAAAUUUCGUCCCGAGGCUAUUUUAGGUGCUGCAUCACCUUAUUUUUGGGCCAGGCCCAUGUAAUUUCGAAAUACAUAAGUAUAGGCUAUUUUUAGAGUCCGUAUGUGUGGGGAAACAAGAGAUAGGGAUGAUUUCGGACCCCUCCACCAAGGGCCACGAAAUUCCCCCCUCUUCCUCCAUAUAUACAGCCCUUAGGGCAUCGUUUAGACUUUGGGUUUUGUUUAGAUUAAAAGUUCGCCAUAGCUGCAACUUCGCGUACUUCGUUUGUGUUCAACGACCAGACAAAGGCGUCACAGAACCCCACCUUGAUCAAUAAAGCUUUCAUCUUAUAUUCGCAAUAUCCAGAUUGCACUCUUAGUUUCUUGCUUGUUCUUCGUUUGCUCGCAGGAUACAGACCCUCGUGGUCAGGUUGAUCGUGCUCCGGCGUGGUCAAUAACCUCUCGGAGUUGGUUUAGCGAUUGCUAAGGCGCGACGUCCUCCCACGUUCGUAGUCGGAUCGUCAAAGUCGACUUCCACCAAAGCGAUAUCCAUCAUCUCAUCGAAAGACGGGACACCUUUGCCUCUAUCAGGUUUUGUUUAGAUUAAAAGUUCGCCAUAGCUGCAACUUCGCGUACUUCGUUUGUGUUCAACGACCAGACAAAGGCGUCACAGAACCCCACCUUGAUCAAUAAAGCUUUCAUCUUAUAUNNNNNNNNNNNNNNNNNNNNNNNNNNNNNNNNNNNNNNNNNNNNNNNNNNNNNNNNNNNNNNNNNNNNNNNNNNNNNNNNNNNNNNNNNNNNNNNNNNNNNNNNNNNNNNNNNNNNNNNNNNNNNNNNNNNNNNNNNNNNNNNNNNNNNNNNNNNNNNNNNNNNNNNNNNNNNNNNNNNNNNNNNNNNNNNNNNNNNNNNNNNNNNNNUCUUCCUCCAUAUAUACAGCCCUUAGGGCAUCGUUUAGACUUUGGGUUUUGUUUAGAUUAAAAGUUCGCCAUAGCUGCAACUUCGCGUACUUCGUUUGUGUUCAACGACCAGACAAAGGCGUCACAGAACCCCACCUUGAUCAAUAAAGCUUUCAUCUUAUAUUCGCAAUAUCCAAAUUGCAAUCUUAGUUUCUUGCUUGUUCUUCGUUUGCUCGCAGGAAACAGACCCUCGUGGUCAGGUUGAUCGUGCUCCGGCGUGGUCAAUAACCUCUCGGAGUUGGUUUAGCGAUUGCUAAGGCGCGACGUCCUCGCACGUUCGUAGUCGGAUCGUCAAAGUCGACUUCCACCAAAGCGAUAUCCAACAUCUCAUCGAAAGACGGGACACCUUUGCCUCUAUCAAAUAUGGACAUCAUCUCGUACCUGAGGUGGUGGUGCAGGCCUACCAUUACGAAUAUAUACCUGAGGUCGACCUGCUGGUGGUGGUGCAGGUGGCUGCACGUAGUGCUGAUUUUGAUCAACCUCAUCCUCAUAAUCGCCCGCAUACUCAUCAUCCUCCUGGGUACCAGCAGCAGCAGUAGCAGGAGCCAAAGAAGCACCAACAGCAGUAGCAGCGGCACCAGAAUUUUGUCCUGGCUCAAUAGGAACACGCUGUGCUUGUCCAUACUGAUUCGGAAGGGGGCGUAGUUGUUGUUGCAGAGGUGCGACAGGUGCAGCCGGUGGUGGAAGACGCGCAAGCAGUUCAUUAAAUCUGUUAUCGAGCUUUGUUUCGAACGUCUUCUCAAGGCCAGUGAUCUUUUCCAUGGCCUCUUCAAAAUUGUUCAGCACAUCUUGUACCUGUUCAGUCAUCAUUUGCUGAAACUUAUCAUGAAGCUCCUUGUUCGAUAAGUUCUCCCAGUCAAUCUCGUCGGCUUGUGAUCCUGGCAUGGUUAGCAGCAAUAGAAACACACAAGAAUAUGAUCCUACAGACUACGAACAAGUGGUGGUGGUGGAUGUCACAAAUCCGUCAAGCAAAACUCAAAUUCUUACCAGUUCUUACCCAGCAACCGUUGAUCGGCAACCGUUGUAGUCAAAACUCUCAAAGCUUGGAUAGAGCGAUUACCAGGGAGAAUCAAACGCACGAGGUAGAUGUAUGUGGAGCUGGGAAGGCUUAUAAUAUGGUAGCAAAAGGGGUAAGCAAUAAUCAAUUCAGAGAUGCAAAGUUGAAUAAACGCUCAACGACGGUACUGUGCUGGUCCUAGGCUAGACCGUGCUAGAGACGCGAGCCUAGAACACUAACAAAAUCACGGCGCUGCACGUAAACAAGGGAAAAGCACACUCUGGAAAUUUUUUUCUCGCUCUCUUUUUUUUUGCGCUGUUUUUUUUGCGCUGCUCUUUUUUUGCGAAAAAUCACUAUAAUGGCGAGUGUCUCAAAACUCUUCCCAGGUCAAACUGACAGGAUGGGCACGAAAUUUUUUUUUGACCAAUUUUUUUUUUCGACUGCCCGGACCCAAAAACUGGAAAGGGGUCAAAAAAAACUUUCUAUAACGGCGACUGUCUCAAUAUGCUUAGAAGCACCUAAAAAAAGCAUAGCCAGAAAUUUAUUCGACAAGUGCGUUUUUGGAAAAUUUUGGGCCUAAACGGAGGGUGGUUUCCGGACUCUUUUUUUUACGAAACCUACUCCGGCAAGGAAACACGAAUCGGAAUCUAGAUGGAUCUCGAAAACAAACCUAAUAAGCAAGGAACUCGGAUUGGUGGUGGAUAUAUGGUGGUGGUAUAUGGCAGCGGUGGUGGUAGCGGUGGUAGUAUAUGGAUAUGGAUCGGUGGUGGUAUAUGGACACGGAUUGGUGGUGGUAUAUGGAUACGGAUUCGGAGCGGUGGUGGUAGAUGGCAGGGGCGAUGAUGAUGGUGCGGCGGCGGCGUGACAACUUAUGACCAGAACUCGAAACUCUAAAAGACUAGACUCUAAGACCAGCAACUAGACACGACGAUGCAACCGCAAAUUCAACAAAGCAAAACCCUAAAAAGAUUAUGCAAAGGGUCAGAUUGGUUCGGAUAUGAUGAACUAACCCUAAUUUUUUUUGUGGCUUUUUCGUGGACUGUAGGUAUGAAGAACAGACUCGAUCUAAACUAUGAAAAACUGUAAAAUCUCACCGAGCAACCUGGAAAUCUGAUACCACUUGAUAGAGGCAAAGGUGUCCCGUCUUUCGAUGAGAUGAUGGAUAUCGCUUUGGUGGAAGUCGACUUUGACGAUCCGACUACGAACGUGCGAGGACGUCGCGCCUUAGCAAUCGCUAAACCAACUCCGAGAGGUUAUUGACCACGACGGAGCACGAUCAACCUGACCACGAGGGUAUGUUUCCUGCGAGCAAACGAAGAACAACCAAGAAACUGAGAUUGCAAUCUGGAUAUUGCGAAUAUAAGAUGAAAGCUUUAUUGAUCAAGGUGGGGUUCUGUGACGCCUUUGUCUGGUCGUUGAACACAAACGAAGUACGCGAAGUUGCAGCUAUGGCGAACUUUAAUCUAAACAAAACCCAAAGUCUAAACGGUGCCCUAAGGGCUGUAUAUAUGGAGGAAGAGAGGGGGAAUUUCGUGGCCCUUGGUGGAGGGGUCCGAAAUCAACCAUAUCUCUUGUUUCCCCACACAUACGGACUCUAAAAAUAGCAUAUACUAAUGUAUUUCGAAAUUACAUGGGCCUGGCCCAAUAAAAAGGUGACGCAGCACCUAUAAUAGCCUCUGGACGAAAUUUAUGAAGUGGCAUCUUGUAUAUUUCGUCCAAGGCUUCAUGCACUCUUAUGGUGGCUUCAAAGUCCUGAAAUCAUCACUUGUAACUCCGUUCUGGUUCCCCUUGCGCAUGGCAUCAUCUCCAUGCUUGCUUUUGCUCCAAUGUCCAUCCUUCUCCAAGCUAGGCCCUUCAUUUGUAAGCAAAACAAAUGUAUCCAAUUUAGGCAGCAUCAUAUUCUCAUGAACAUUAGAAUCAUUACCAAGAAACGAAAGUACCUGAUAAUUUAAUUGGCGUGCGCGAGCUCUAGUAAUUGGUCCAGUAUAUGUAGCAGUAGGGGCUGUGGGUGUAACAAUGGUAUUGAUGUCCUCAUCAGCUUUAGAUUUUAUGAACUAUUCAAGUUACUCAUCUAUUCAUGUGUCAUAUAUGCAAAAAUCAAGGGAAGUAAAAAUGGAUGACGUAUACAUAUACAACAUGUACACCUUGUCUCUUUUGUUAGCCACAUUUCAGAUUAAGCAACGCCGAGGACGGCUUUAUUUUCAAGAAGGGGAGGAUGAUGAGGACAUGACUACCUUCGAUAUGACCAAAAUUAUUGCAUAUAUGCAUAUUUGUCAGGUGAUUUUUAAUGCAAACUAUUCAAUAAUCUAUUUAUUUUAUCCAGAACAAAAAUACUUCACACACUUUCGUGUUUUGUCUAAUUACAGGUGUAUGGGACAUUUGUACAAUCCACAUAUGAAGAUAAGGAAGAAAGAGAUGUUUAUUUGUUGUUCAAAAAGUUCUUUCACUUCACUUUUGGCCCAAGAGAAGAUAGAGUCCAAGUCUCUCACGUUCUGGAUUCAGAUUCGGACUGCACAGACAUACCUGACUCAAAAUGCCCACAACUUUUUCAUACGGACUCCGAAUUGGGUGAUUCUUUUUUUGGUGGAAACUAGAUUUCGUGCACUUUCCAACCCAAUUGGAAUCACCUUCAAAUUCGUCCGGAGCGUUGAGUUAUGGACCAAACAAUCUGAUGCUGCAGCAGAAUCCGAGUCAAACUAAAAGUCCAAAGGUGUUACAUCACCUCCACUUGGGCCCAUUGGCCUUGUACGACCUAGAUUUAGUUUUAGGCUGCCUUGGGACGUCCUCCCACCUCCUUGGCCGCCACCCCUUGCUCCUAUAUAAGUAGAUCCAUCUACUAGCUUUUUCCUUGGGAUUUGUUUAGUUAAAAGUUAGCCAUUGCAACUUCGUGUACUUCGUUUGUGUCCAACGACCAGACCAAGACCGCUUACGGAUCCCCACCUUUAUCAAUACUUCAUAUAUACUCGCAAUAUUCAGAUUGCUUUUAUCAUAUUCUUGCUUGUUCUUCGAUUGCUUGCAGGAAUAGACCUUCGUGGUCAGAUUGAUUGUGCUCCGGCGUGGUCAAUAACCUCUCGGAGUUGGUUUAGCGAUUGCUAAGGCGCAACGUCGUGCACGUUUGUAGUCGGAUCGUCAAAGUCGUCUCCACCAAAUCGAUAGUUAUCAUCUCAUCGAAAGAUCGGGACACCCCGCCUCUAUCAAGGCCACAAGUCCUAUGAAUGCACCAACAAGCGCACCAUGAUCCUCAACGACGAUGGCACCUACGACUCAAUGAGUCAAGAUGAAAUGGAAGCUAUUGAGCAAGUGGCCAUGCACCGGCGCGUGAACGAGGAUGAAGAUGAUCAAGUCUUUUGUGAUGAAGAUACGAGCCCCGCUCUUGUUGUCUCCAAGGUCUUGACACUUCAACAUCAACAAGAAGAAGACCAACGAUGCCACAUCUUCCACACAAAGGCCGACAUCAAUGGACGAUCCGUCAAGGUCAUCAUCGAUGGAGGUAGUUGCCACAACUUGGCAAGCGAAGAACUAUGCUCCAAGCUUCAAUUGGUCAAGAAGAAGCACCCGCACCCCUACAAGGUUCAAUGGCUAAGUGCCUCCGGCACUAUACGAGUUGAGCAUAUGGUCCAAGUACCCUUCAAAAUUGGUGCAUAUGAGGACACUUUGGAGUGUGAUGUGGUCCCAAUGACCGUUUGCCACCUCCUCCUUGGGCGGCCUUGGCAAUUCGACCAUGGUGUCUUCCACAAUGGGCGUACAAACCACUAUAGCUUCAAGAUGAAAGGAAAAGAAUAUGUGCUACGACCCAUGUCUCCUAGUCAAGUAAUAGCCAACAAGCAAGCCACCAACCAAAGAGAGAAGAGUGAGAAAGUGAGCUACCAAAAAGUGAGUGACAGCCACAAGCCAAACUUGAGCGCCUCUUCGCCUAGAGAGAAAAACCUCAUACUAUUUGCCACCAAAAGUGAGAUGAGAGAAGUAUGUGAGAACCCAUCGAGUGUGAUGCACUUUGUCCUUGUGUGCAAGGAUGGAGAAACAAAAACUAACACCAUUCACGAGCUACCUUUGGUGUUUCAAUCUCUUUUGCAGGAAUUUCAAGAUGUUUUCCCUGAUGAGCUACCUCCGGGUCUACCUCCUCUACGAGGCAUUGAGCAUCGAAUCGACCUCAUCCCCGAAGCACCACUUCCAAACAAAGCUCCAUACCGUGUCAAUCCCGAAGAAACCAAGGAGAUUCAACGGCAAGUACAACAACUAAUCGACAACGGUCAUGUACGUGAAAGCUUAAGCCCUUGUGCCGUUCCCGUUAUACUUGUGCCUAAGCCCGACGGAAGUUUCCGCUUGUGCUCCGAUUGUAGACCUAUAAAUGCUAUCACCGUUCGCUAUAGGCAUCCCAUUCCUCGCUUAGAUGAUAUGCUUGAUGAACUUAGUGGAGCCAACUUUUUCUCAAAAAUUGAUCUUAAAAGUGACUAUUAUCAAAUCCGCAUUCAUGAGGGUGAUGAAUGGAAAACUGCUUUUAAAACCAAAUUUGGCUUAUAUGAGUGGUUGGUUAUGCCUAUGGGUUUAUCGGAGGCUCCCGGUACUUUUGUGCGUCUCAUGCAUCAUGUCCUUCGACCUUAUAUUGGAGUCUUUGUUGUGGUUUACUUCGAUGAUAUUCUUGUGUUUAGCAAAACCAUGAAAGAGCAUCUUGAUUAUGUUAAGCUUGUUUUGCAAACACUUAGAAAGGAAAGUCUUUAUGCCAACUUGAAAAAAUGCACUUUUGGCGUUGACAAAGUGGUUUUCUUGGGUUUUGUUGUCUCUUCCAAGUGUGUCCAUGUUGAUGAAACUAAAAUUGAAGCAAUUAAAACUUGGCCCCAACCCACCAAUUUGCAACAAGUGCGAAGUUUCCUUGGUCUUGCAGGUUUUUACCGCCGCUUUGUGAAAUUUUUUAGCACAAUAGCCGCUCCUUUGCAUGCUUUGAGUAAGAAGAAUACUCCUUUUGUUUGGGGAUCUUUGCAAUCCAACGCUUUUGAUGAGCUCAAGUCUUUGCUUACUCAUGCUCCGAUUCUUGCUUUGCCCAAUUUUGACAAAACUUUUGAGGUUCAUUGUGAUGCAAGUGGUACCGGAAUUGGCGGAGUUUUGAUGCAAGAAAAACGAGCAAUUGCUUAUUUUAGUGAAAAACUCUGCGGUGCUCAACUUAACUAUCCCAUAUAUGACAAAGAAUUGUAUGCUUUAGUGCGUGUACUACAUGUGUACUACAUGUUUGGGAACAUUAUCUUCGACCUCAUGAGUUUGUCAUCCAUACCGAUCAUGAAACGCUUAAGUACUUGGAGGGUCAAACUAAAUUGAACAAGCGUCAUGCCAAAUGGAGUGAAUUUAUUGAAUCUUUCCCAUAUGUGAUCAAGUACAUUAAGGGUAAGGAAAAUGUAGUUGCCGAUGCACUUUCACGCAUAUGCACGCUUGUCACCCAACUUGAGUUGAAUGUUAUUGGCUUUGAGCACAUAAAAGAUUUGUAUGCUAGUGAUCCAUCUUUUGCACCUCAUUAUGCUAAAUGUUUGACGCAUACAUCUUGGGAACAAUAUUACCUCAAGGAUGGUUAUCUUAUGAGAGCUAACAAACUAUGCAUUCCCGAGUCUUCUCUUCGUUUCCUCCUUUUGCAAGAGGCUUAUGGAGGCGGACUCAUGGGACAUUUUGGACGGGACAAGACUUUCGCCACACUCUCCAAGAACUACUUUUGGCCCAAGAUGUUUCGAGACGUCUCGCGCUUCACCACUCGAUGCUCUACAUGCCGCAAAGCUAAGUCAAAAGCUCAAUCUCAUGGUCUUCACAUGCCUCUUCCUAUUCCUUAUCAACCUUGGGAAGACAUUAGCAUGGAUUUUGUACUUGGUUUGCCUAGAACUCAAAAUGGAAAAGGAUUCCGUGUUUGUUGUUGUGGACCGAUUUUCUAAGAUGGCACAUUUCAUUCCUUGCAACAAGGUAGACGAUGCUUCACAUAUUGCAAAUCUCUUUUGUAGGGAAAUCUUGCGCCUCCAUGGAGUACCAAAGACAAUCGUCUCCGACCGCGACAUCAAGUUCUUGAGUUACUUUUGGAAGACUCUAUGCGCCAAUGAUGUAGGGUAGAACCCUAGGGAGGGAUCUUUUCACACUUGGAGGGGGAAAAUGGAGGGAAACACAAGAACAACAAGAACACAAGGAUGAACACAAAGAGGAAAUCACUCCAACAAUUCCCAAUUACACAUCCACUAGAGUAACAACACAAGAUCCACAAGUCUCAAACACAAUCAAAGGAAAGAUACAAUGGCAAAGUUCAUCCCAAAUCCAAAGGAAGAGGGGUCUUGGUGGUAGUAGAUAGUCUUCUCCUAAUGGAGGUCUUGAAAUCCUCAAGGAUUCUUCCCUAUGGGGUCUUGAUCCUCAAAGAGGGAAGGUAAUGGAGCAAAGCUCACCAAGAUCUCAUCUAAUACUUUGCUAACCCUAAACAUGGCCCUAGGUACGAAUUAUAUAGGCUUGGGGUCGAAGGAGGAGAAGUGGAGCCGAAGUCAUCAUCAUAGCCGUCCAUCCUGGGAGGCCCGUGCGCACGGGGUAAGUUGGGCCCGUGCGCACGGGGGUCCCGUGGGCACGGUACAAGCCCGUGCGCACGGGGUACUCCAGCGUCAACUCCCUGGGUAGCCCGUGGGCACGGGGUCUUGGGGGCCCGUGCCCACGGGGUUGCCUGGAGCCUCCUGUGCUGCUGUUGUUGUUCUCGUGCUUGGUCCUUGUGGCCUUGGGGUGGUUCUCCUUCUUCUUGGGGAUGCUCCUGAGCUCCUUGGUGGUGUUCCUCUUCGUACCUAAGGAGGCAUAUCACAUUUUGGUGAGGUAGUAUACAUGUUCCAUUUGGGUUCAUAUGCAAGUCUAGUAGGAAGGAGUUCACCUCGGUUUCCAAAGCACGUGCUCUAGCUCUUGUCAUGGGUCCUUGUGGGGUUGGAUGUGUUGAUGUAGAGUCCAUGGGGAUGAUGGAAGGAUGCUCCGCAUCAUCUCCCCUCCCUUCGAAAGGAUCCGACCUCGGAUCAAGAUCUUCAUCACCAUGGAAAGGCGCGAGGUCUUUGACGUUGAAGAUGUCUCUCACGUUGUACUUGUCUCGUGGGAGUUCAAUCUUGUAGGCGUUGUCGUUGUAGCGUGCUAGCACCUUGAAUGGUCCAUCGGCUCGAGGUAGUAGUUUGGACUUGCGUUCGUUGGGGAAGCGUUCCUUGCGAAGGUGUAGCCACACGAGAUCACCUAUGUUGAAGAUCAUGGGUUGCUUGUUGACGUUGAGCUUGGUCGCUAGUCGAUGUACUUGGCGCUCGAUGAUGUUUCUUGUAUCUUCAUGCAUCUUCUUGAUGUAGCUUGCUCGUUCACUCGCAUCCAUGUUGGUUCGUUCUUAUAGAGGUAGAGGUAGAAUGUCCAAUGGGGACAACGGGUUGAAGCCGUAGACGACCUCGAAGGGGGACUUGCCGGUAGUCGAAUGUCUUGCGCGGUUGUAGGCGUACUCGGCGAUGGGUAGACAUGCCUCCCACUCCUUGAUGUUCUUCUUGAUCAACACGUGAAGUAGAGUGGAGAGUGUCCGGUUCGUCACCUCCGUUUGGCCAUCGGUUUGAGGAUGGUAUGCGGAUGAGAACAAGAGCUUGAUUCCGAGCUUGGCGCAUAGAGUCUUCCAAAAGUAACUCAAGAACUUGACGUCACGGUCGGAGACGAUUGAUGAGGACAUCAAUACCAUUGUUACACCCACAGCUCCUACUUCUACAUAUACUGGACCAAUUACUAGAGCUCGCGCACGCCAAUUAAAUUAUCAGGUACUUUCGUUUCUUGGUAAUGAUUCUAAUGUUCAUAAGAAUAUGAUGCUGCCUAAAUUGGAUACAUUUGUUUUGCUUACAAAUGAAGGGCCUAGCUUGGAGAAGGAUGGACAUUGGAGCAAGAACAAGCAUGGAGAUGAUGCCAUGCGCAAGGGGAACCAGAACGGAGUUACAAGUAAUGAUUUCAGGACUUUGAAGCCACCAUAAUGGGUGCAUGAAGCCUUGGACAAAAUAUACAAGAUGCCACUUCAUAAAUUUCGUCCCGAGGCUAUUAUAGGUGCCGCGUCACCUUUUUAUUGGGCCAGGCCCAUGUAAUUUCGAAAUACAUAGGUAUAGGCUAUUUUUAGAGUCCGUAUGUGUGGGGAAACAAGAGAUAGGGUUGAUUUCGGACCCCUCCACCAAGGGCCACGAAAUUCCCCCCUCUUCCUCCAUAUAUACAACCCUUAGGACACCAUUUAGACUUUGGCUUUUGUUUAGAUUAAAGUUCACCAUAGCUGCAACUUCGCGUACUUCGUUUGUGUUCAACGACCAGACAAAGGCGUCACAGAACCCCACCUUGAUCAACAAAGCUUUCAUCUUAUAUUCGCAAUAUCCAGAUUGCAAUCUCAGUUUCUUGCUUGUUCUUCGUUUGCUCGCAGGAAACAGACCCUCGUGGUCAGGUUGAUCGUGCUCCGGCGUGGUCAAUAACCUCUCGGAGUUGGUUUAGCGAUUGCUAAGGCGCGACGUCCUCGCACGUUCGUAGUCGGAUCGUCAAAGUCGACUUCCACCAAAGCGAAAACCAUCAUCUCAUCGAAAGACGGGACACCUUUGCCUCUAUCAAGUGGUAUCAGAUUUCCAGGUUGCUCGGUGAGAUUUUACAGUUUUUCGUAGUUUAGAUCGAGUCUCAUACCUACAGUCCACGAAAAAGCCACAAAAAAAAAUAGGGUUAGUUCAUCAUAUCCGAACCAAUCUGAGCCUUUGCAUAAUCUUUUUAGGGUUUUGCUUUGUUGAAUUUGCGGUUGCAUCGUCGUGUCUAGUUGCUGGUCUUAGAGUCUAGUCUUUUAGAGUUUCGAGUUCUGGUCAUAAGUUGUCACGCCGCCGCCGCACCAUCAUCAUCGUCCCUGCCAUCUACCACCACCGCUUAUCCGCCACUGCUCCGAAUCCGUAUCCAUAUACCACCACCAAUCCGUGUCCAUAUACCACCACCGAUCCAUAUCCAUAUACUACCACCGCUACCACCACCACUGCCAUAUACCACCACCAUAUAUCCACCACCAAUCCGAGUUCCUUGCAUAUUAGGUUUGUUUUCGGGAUCCAUCUAAUUUCCGAUUCGUGUUUCCUUGUCUGAGUAGGUUUCGGAUUCCAGCAAUCUUUUGCCGUCCGUAGAAGAGGUUGGUUUCCAAAAAAAAAAGAGUCCGGAAACCACUCUCCGUUUAGGCCCAAAAUUUUUGGAAAACGCACUUGACAAAAAAAUUUCUGGCUAUCCUAUUUUUAGGUGUUUCUAAGCGUAUUGAGACAGUCGCCGUUAUAGAAAGUUUUUUUUGACCCGUUUCCAGUUUUUGGGUCCGGGCAGUCAAAAAAAAAAAAUUUUUGGUCACAAAACUUUCGUGCCCAUCCUGUCAGUUUGACCUGGGAAGAGUUUUGAGACACUCGCCAUUAUAGUGAUUUUUCGCAAAAAAAAAGAGAGCAGCGCAAAAAAAAAGCAGCGCAAAAAAAAGAGUGAAAAAAAAUUCGAGAGUGUGCUUUUCCCUUGUUUACGUGCAGCGCCGUGAUUUUGUUAGUGUUCUAGGCUCGCGUCUCUAGCACGGUCUAGCCUAGGACCAGCACAGUACCGUCGUUGAGCGUUUAUUCAACUUUGCAUCUCUGAAUUGAUUAUUGCUGACCCUUUUUGCUACCAUAUUAUAAGCCUUCCCAGCUCCACAUACAUCUACGUCGUGCGUUUGACUUUCCCUGGUAAUCGCUCUAUCCAAGCUUUGAGAAGUUUUGACUACAACGGUUGCCGAUCACCACCUGCUGCUGGGUAAGAACUGGUAAGAAUUUGAGGUUUGCUUGACGGGUUUGUGAUACACCACCACAACUUCUUAGUAGUCUGUAGGAUCAUAUUCUUGUGUGUUUCUAUUGCUGCUAACCAUGCCAGGAUCACAAGCCGAUGAGAUUGACUGGGAGAACUUAUCGAACAAGGAGCUUCAUGAUAAGUUUCAGCAAAUGAUGAAUGAACAGGUGCAAGAUGUGUUGAACAAUUUUGAAGAGGCCAUGGAGAAGAUUAUUGGCCUUGAGAAGACGUUCGAAACAAAGCUCGAUAACAGAUUAAAUGAACUGCUUGCGCGUCUUCCACCACCGGCUGCACCUGUCGCACCUCUGCAACAACAACAACUACGCCCCCUUCCGAAUCAGUAUGGACGAGCACAGCGUGUUCCUAUUGAGCCAGGACAAAAUUCUGGUGCCGCUGCUACUGCUGUUGGUGCUUCUUUGGCUCCUGCUACUGCUGCUGCUGGUACCCAGGAGGAUGAUGAUUAUGUGGGAGAUUAUGAGCAUGAGGUUGAUCAAAAUCCGAACUACGUGCAGCCACCAGCACCACCACCACCAGGUCGACCUCAGGUAUAUAUUCGUAAUGGUAGGCCUGCACCACCACCUUAGGUACGAGAUGAUGUCCAUAUUCCUAAACUGAAAUUGAAUAUUCCACCAUUUGAGGGUAGAUAUGUUCCUGAUAUAUAUCUUACUUGGGAGUUAGAAACUGAACAACGAUUUACAUGUUUACAAUAUCCUGAGGAGAGACGAGUUGCUGCUGCUGUUUGUGCUUUCACUAGUUUUGCAUGUGUAUGGUGGUCUGAACAUUGUAGAUUAUAUCCUAUUCCAACUACUUGGGCUGCUUUGAAAACUGCUAUGCGUACGCGUUGGGUUCCACCAUAUUAUCAACGUGAAUUGCUUCAAAAAUUGCAGCAUUUAAGACAAGGGAAAAAUUCUGUAGAAGAAUAUUAUCAGGAAUUACAAACUGGCAUGAUUAGAUGUGGUAUUGUCGAGGAGAAUGAAGCUAUGCUUGCACGUAUUCUGGGUGGAUUAAAUAGAGAGAUUCAGACCAUUCUAGACUAUAAGGAGUAUACUAAUAUCACUCGUUUAUUCUAUCUUGCUUGUAAAGCUGAACGUGAAGUGCAGGAUCGACAAGCAUUGGGGCGAACUAACUUUUCUGUAGGCCGACCUUCAUCAUGGACACCAUGUGCAUCUUCUACUUCAACUGCACCAGCACCUCCAUCCGGUGCCACCUCCAGCCGUGAUACAAGAAAAUAGGCACAACCACCAUUACCUGCCAAGAGCGCACCUGCGGGGCCCGCACAUCGUUCUUCUUCUUCCAUGGCAUCAACAGGGCACACAAGUGAUAUUAUUUGUCGUCGUUGUAAGGGAGGAGGUCAUUAUGCGAGAGAAUGCAAAUCUCCGCGUGUGAUGAUUGCUACCGCGGAUGGUGGAUAUGAGUCUGCUAGUGACUAUGAUGAGGAGACUUUGGCUCUUAUUACACGUGAAGAACAUGGUGGAGAUGAUUCUGAUCAUGAGACGCAAUACAUGGCUCCUGAAGACGCUGACAGGUAUGAAUGUUUAGUUGCUCAACGUGUUUUGAGUGUGCAGAGCACACAAACUGAGCAAAAUCAAAGGCACAGUUUGUUCCAUACCAAGGGAGUUGUGAAGGAACGUUCUGUGCGCGUCAUCAUAGACGGAGGGAGCUGCAACAACUUGGCUAACAUGGAGAUGGUGGAGAAGCUUUCUCUCACCACAAGACCACAUCCAGAUCCUUACUACAUCCAAUGGUUCAACAAUAGCGGCAAGGUUAAGGUAACACGUACUGUUCGUGUGCAUUUUAGUAUCUCUACAUAUGCUGAUUAUGUUGAUUGUGAUGUGGUACCUAUGCAAGCAUGUUCCUUAUUACUUGGUAGACCAUGGCAAUUUGAUAAAAAUUAUGUACACCAUGGUAGAAACAAUCACUAUACUCUUGUUCAUAAGGAUAAAAAUAUUACUUUGCUUCCUGAUGAGGACAUCAAUACCAUUGUUACACCCACAGCCCCUACUGCUACAUAUACGGGACCAAUUACUAGAGCUCGCGCACGCCAAUUAAAUUAUCAGGUACUUUCGUUUCUUGGUAAUGAUUCUAAUGUUCAUGAGAAUAUGAUGCUGCCUAAAUUGGAUACAUUUGUUUUGCUUACAAAUGAAGGGCCUAGCUUGGAGAAGGAUGAACAUUGGAGCAAGAACAAGCAUGGAGAUGAUGCCAUGCGCAAGGGGAACAAGAACGGAGUUACAAGUGAUGAUUUCAGGACUUUGAAGCCACCAUAAUGGGUGCAUGAACCCUUGGACGAAAUAUACAAGAUGCCACUUCAUAAAUUUCGUCCCGAGGCUAUUAUAGGUGCUGCGUCACCUUUUUAUUGGGCCAGGCCCAUGUAAUUUCGAAAUACAUAAGUAUAGGCUAUUUUUAGAGUCCGUAUGUGUGGGGAAACAAGAGAUAGGGUUGAUUUCCGACCCCUCCACCAAGGGCCACGAAAUUCCCCCUCUCUUCCUCCAUAUAUACAGCCCUUAGGGCACCAUUUAGACUUUGGGUUUUGUUUAGAUUAAAAGUUCGCCAUAGCUGCAACUUCGCGUACUUCGUUUGUGUUCAACCACCAGACAAAGGCGUCACAGAACCCCACCUUGAUCAAUAAAGCUUUCAUCUUAUAUUCGCAAUAUCCAGAUUGCAAUCUCAGUUUCUUGCUUGUUCUUCGUUUGCUUGCAGGAAACAGACCCUCGUGGUCAGGUUGAUCGUGCUCCGGCGUGGUCAAUAACCUCUCGGAGUUGGUUUAGCGAUUGCUAAGGCGCGACGUCCUCGCACGUUCGUAGUCGGAUCGUCAAAGUCGACUGCCACCAAAGCGAUAUCCAUCAUCUCAUCGAAAGACGGGACACCUUUGCCUCUAUCAAGUGGUAUCAGAUUUCCAGGUUGCUCGGUGAGAUUUUACAAUUUUUCGUAGUGUAGAUCGAGUCUGUUCUUCAUACCUAUAGUCCACGAAAAAGCAAAAAAAAAAAUUAGGGUUAGUUCAUCCCAUCCGAACCAAUCUGAGCCUUGCAUAAUCUUUUCUGUAUUUGCUUUGUUGAAUUUGCGGUUGCAUCGUCGUGUCCAGUUGCUGGUCUUAGCGUCUAGUCUUUUAGAGUUUCGAGUUCUGUUCACAGGUUGUCACGUCGCCGCUGCCAUAUAUCACCACCGCAUCAUCAUCGUCGCUGUUGCCAUAUACCACCACCACAUAUUCACCGCCAAUCCAAAUCCAUAUACGCCACCACAUAUCCGCCGUCAUCACGCCAAUCCGAGUUCACCUGCAACAUAUAUCCGCCACCUGUCCGUGUUCCACCAGUUUCAUCUCCGCCACCAGUCUGAGUUCCACCAGAUUCAUCUCCGCCACCAGUCCUAGUCCGAGUCUAGUAAUUGUUGCAUUGUUCUCGAUUUCCAGAUCACGCGAUACUCCGAGUCGUGACAGAGAAGGACUCCCCAACUUCCGAGCCAUCCGCAGAAGAAAAAUAGUUCCAAUUUCAAAAAAAAACUAAGUCUGGAAAAUUCUGGCUAGGCAGUUUUUAGACCAUUUGUAGACUUUUUCGAAAAAAUUUGUUGCGUAGCAAAAAAUAGGAGGAAAAAAAAGUGCAAAAAAAAGAGGAAAAAAAAUUCAGAGUGUGCUCCUCCCUUGUUUACGUGCCACGCCGUGAUUUUGUUGGUGUUCUAGGCUCGCGUCUCUAGCACAGUCUAGCCUAGGACCAGCACAGUACCGUUGUUGAGCGUUUAUUCAACUUUGCAUCUCUGAAUUGAUUAUUGCUGACCCUUUUUGCUACCAUAUUAAAAGCCUUCCCAGCUCCACAUACAUCUACGUCGUGCGUUUGACUCUCCCUGGUAAUCGCUCUAUCCAAGCUUUGAGAGUUUUGACUACAACGGUUGCCGAUCACCGCCUGCUGUUGGGUAAGAACUGGUAAGAAUUUGAGUUUUGCUUGACGGGUUUGUGACACCCACCACCACCACUUGUUCGUAGUUUGUAGGAUCAUAUUCUUGUGUGUUUCUAUUGCUGCUAACCAUGCCAGGAUCACAAGCCGACGAGAUUGACUGGGAAAAUUUAUCGAACAAGGAGCUUCAUGAUAAGUUUCAGCAAAUGAUGACUGAACAGGUGCAAGAUGUGCUGAACAAUUUUGAAGAGGCCAUGGAGAAGAUCACUGGCCUUGAGAAGACGUUCGAAACAAAGCUCGAUAACAAGUUUAAUGAAUUGCUCGCGCGUAUUCCACCACCACCACCCGCUGCACCUAACGCACCUCUCCAACAACAACAACAACGACUACGUCCACGUCGCAAAACAGACCUCCACCGAGCAAGCCGUGUUCCUCUUGCGUUUGGCCAAACUGUUGGUGCUGCUGUUGAUACUUCUGUGGCUCCUGCUGCUGAUGCAGAGGAGGAUGAUUAUGUGGGAGAUUAUGAGGAUGAGGUUGAUCAAAAUCAGCACUACGUGCAGCCACCUGUACCACCACCAGCAGGUCGACCUCAGGUAUAUAUUCGUAAUGGUAGGCCUGCACCACCACCUCAGGUACGAGAUGAUGUCCAUAUUCCUAACCUGAAAUUGAAUAUUCCACCAUUUGAGGGUAGAUAUGUUCCUGAUAUAUAUCUUACUUGGGAGUUAGAAACUGAACAACGAUUUACAUGUUUACAAUAUCCUGAGGAGAGAAGAGUUGCUGCUGCUGUUUGUGCUUUCACUAGUUUUGCAUGUGUAUGGUGGUCUGAACAUUGUAGAUUAUAUCCUAUUCCAACUACUUGGGCUGCUUUGAAAACUGCUGCGUACGCGUUGGGUUCCACCAUAUUAUCAACGUGAAUUGCUUCACAAAUUGCAGCGUUUAAGACAAGGGAAAAAUUCUGUAGAAGAAUAUUAUCAGGAAUUACAAACUGGCAUGAUUAGAUGUGGUAUUGUUGAGGAGAAUGAAGCUAUGCUUGCAUGUUUUCUGGGUGGAUCAAAUACAGAGAUUCAGACCAUUCUAGACUAUAAGGAGUAUACUAAUAUCACUCGUUUAUUCCAUCUUGCUUGUAAAGCUGAACGUGAAGUGCAGGAUCGACAAGCAUUGGGGCGAACUAACUUUUCUGCAGGCCGACCUUCAUCAUGGACACCACGUGCAUCUUCUACUUCAACUGCACCAGCACCUCAGUCACGUGCCUCCUUCAGCCGUGAUACAAGAAAACAGGCACAACCACCAUUAUCUGCCAAGAGCGCACCUGCGGGGCCUGCACAGCGUUCUUCUUCUUCCAUGGCAUCAACAGGGCACACAAGUGAUAUUAUUUGUCGUCGUUGUAAGGGAGGAGGUCAUUAUGCGAGAGAAUGCAAAUCUCCGCGUGUGAUGAUUGCUACCGCGGAUGGUGGAUAUGAGUAUGGAUUAUAUGAGUGGUUAGUCAUGCCUUUUGGGUUAACUAAUGCACCUAGUACUUUCAUGAGAUUAAUGAACGAAGUUCUACGUGCUUUCAUUGGACGAUUUGUGGUAGUUUACUUUGAUGACAUAUUGAUUUAUAGCAGAUCUUUGGAAGAACAUUUGGAACAUUUACGUGCUGUUUUUAUUGCUCUACGUGAUGCACGUUUGUUUGGCAACCUUGGGAAGUGCACCUUUUGCACCGACCGAGUAUCUUUUCUUGGCUAUGUUGUUACUCCACAGGGAAUUGAAGUUGAUAAAGCCAAGAUUGAAGCUAUUGAGAGUUGGCCGCAACCCAAAACGGUCACACAAGUGAGGAGUUUUCUUGGCCUCGCUGGAUUCUAUAGGCGUUUUGUGAGAGAUUUCAGCACCAUUGUUGCACCUCUCAAUGAGCUUACAAAGAAAGAUGUGCCUUUUCUUUGGGGUACCGCACAGGAAGAAGCCUUCUCGGUAUUGAAAGAUAAGUUGACACAUGCUCCUUUACUCCAACUUCCUGAUUUUAAUAAGACUUUUGAGCUUGAAUGUGAUGCUAGUGGAAUUGGAUUAGGCUGUGUGUAAUUACAAGAUGGCAAACAUGUUGCAUACUUUUCUGAAAAAUAAUGUUGUCCGAACAAGAGCAUAUGUGUCAACUUAUCAUAAGUAGAAUAAUUCAGACUAGGCCCACUCAAUUUUUCAGAAAAGUAUGCAACAGGUUUGCCAUCUUGUAAUANNNNNNNNNNNNNNNNNNNNNNNNNNNNNNNNNNNNNNNNNNNNNNNNNNNNNNNNNNNNNNNNNNNNNNNNNNNNNNNNNNNNNNNNNNNNNNNNNNNNNNNNNNNNNNNNNNNNNNNNNNNNNNNNNNNNNNNNNNNNNNNNNNNNNNNNNNNNNNNNNNNNNNNNNNNNNNNNNNNNNNNNNNNNNNNNNNNNNNNNNNNNNNNNNNNNNNNNNNNNNNNNNNNNNNNNNNNNNNNNNNNNNNNNNNNNNNNNNNNNNNNNNNNNNNNNNNNNNNNNNNNNNNNNNNNNNNNNNNNNNNNNNNNNNNNNNNNNNNNNNNNNNNNNNNNNNNNNNNNNNNNNNNNNNNNNNNNNNNNNNNNNNNNNNNNNNNNNNNNNNNNNNNNNNNNNNNNNNNNNNNNNNNNNNNNNNNNNNNNNNNNNNNNNNNNNNNNNNNNNNNNNNNNNNNNNNNNNNNNNNNNNNNNNNNNNNNNNNNNNNNNNNNNNNNNNNNNNNNNNNNNNNNNNNNNNNNNNNNNNNNNNNNNNNNNNNNNNNNNNNNNNNNNNNNNNNNNNNNNNNNNNNNNNNNNNNNNNNNNNNNNNNNNNNNNNNNNNNNNNNNNNNNNNNNNNNNNNNNNNNNNNNNNNNNNNNNNNNNNNNNNNNNNNNNNNNNNNNNNNNNNNNNNNNNNNNNNNNNNNNNNNNNNNNNNNNNNNNNNNNNNNNNNNNNNNNNNNNNNNNNNNNNNNNNNNNNNNNNNNNNNNNNNNNNNNNNNNNNNNNNNNNNNNNNNNNNNNNNNNNNNNNNNNNNNNNNNNNNNNNNNNNNNNNNNNNNNNNNNNNNNNNNNNNNNNNNNNNNNNNNNNNNNNNNNNNNNNNNNNNNNNNNNNNNNNNNNNNNNNNNNNNNNNNNNNNNNNNNNNNNNNNNNNNNNNNNNNNNNNNNNNNNNNNNNNNNNNNNNNNNNNNNNNNNNNNNNNNNNNNNNNNNNNNNNNNNNNNNNNNNNNNNNNNNNNNNNNNNNNNNNNNNNNNNNNNNNNNNNNNNNNNNNNNNNNNNNNNNNNNNNNNNNNNNNNNNNNNNNNNNNNNNNNNNNNNNNNNNNNNNNNNNNNNNNNNNNNNNNNNNNNNNNNNNNNNNNNNNNNNNNNNNNNNNNNNNNNNNNNNNNNNNNNNNNNNNNNNNNNNNNNNNNNNNNNNNNNNNNNNNNNNNNNNNNNNNNNNNNNNNNNNNNNNNNNNNNNNNNNNNNNNNNNNNNNNNNNNNNNNNNNNNNNNNNNNNNNNNNNNNNNNNNNNNNNNNNNNNNNNNNNNNNNNNNNNNNNNNNNNNNNNNNNNNNNNNNNNNNNNNNNNNNNNNNNNNNNNNNNNNNNNNNNNNNNNNNNNNNNNNNNNNNNNNNNNNNNNNNNNNNNNNNNNNNNNNNNNNNNNNNNNNNNNNNNNNNNNNNNNNNNNNNNNNNNNNNNNNNNNNNNNNNNNNNNNNNNNNNNNNNNNNNNNNNNNNNNNNNNNNNNNNNNNNNNNNNNNNNNNNNNNNNNNNNNNNNNNNNNNNNNNNNNNNNNNNNNNNNNNNNNNNNNNNNNNNNNNNNNNNNNNNNNNNNNNNNNNNNNNNNNNNNNNNNNNNNNNNNNNNNNNNNNNNNNNNNNNNNNNNNNNNNNNNNNNNNNNNNNNNNNNNNNNNNNNNNNNNNNNNNNNNNNNNNNNNNNNNNNNNNNNNNNNNNNNNNNNNNNNNNNNNNNNNNNNNNNNNNNNNNNNNNNNNNNNNNNNNNNNNNNNNNNNNNNNNNNNNNNNNNNNNNNNNNNNNNNNNNNNNNNNNNNNNNNNNNNNNNNNNNNNNNNNNNNNNNNNNNNNNNNNNNNNNNNNNNNNNNNNNNNNNNNNNNNNNNNNNNNNNNNNNNNNNNNNNNNNNNNNNNNNNNNNNNNNNNNNNNNNNNNNNNNNNNNNNNNNNNNNNNNNNNNNNNNNNNNNNNNNNNNNNNNNNNNNNNNNNNNNNNNNNNNNNNNNNNNNNNNNNNNNNNNNNNNNNNNNNNNNNNNNNNNNNNNNNNNNNNNNNNNNNNNNNNNNNNNNNNNNNNNNNNNNNNNNNNNNNNNNNNNNNNNNNNNNNNNNNNNNNNNNNNNNNNNNNNNNNNNNNNNNNNNNNNNNNNNNNNNNNNNNNNNNNNNNNNNNNNNNNNNNNNNNNNNNNNNNNNNNNNNNNNNNNNNNNNNNNNNNNNNNNNNNNNNNNNNNNNNNNNNNNNNNNNNNNNNNNNNNNNNNNNNNNNNNNNNNNNNNNNNNNNNNNNNNNNNNNNNNNNNNNNNNNNNNNNNNNNNNNNNNNNNNNNNNNNNNNNNNNNNNNNNNNNNNNNNNNNNNNNNNNNNNNNNNNNNNNNNNNNNNNNNNNNNNNNNNNNNNNNNNNNNNNNNNNNNNNNNNNNNNNNNNNNNNNNNNNNNNNNNNNNNNNNNNNNNNNNNNNNNNNNNNNNNNNNNNNNNNNNNNNNNNNNNNNNNNNNNNNNNNNNNNNNNNNNNNNNNNNNNNNNNNNNNNNNNNNNNNNNNNNNNNNNNNNNNNNNNNNNNNNNNNNNNNNNNNNNNNNNNNNNNNNNNNNNNNNNNNNNNUCCUUGUUCGAUAAAUUCUCCCAGUCAAUCUCGUCGGCUUGUGAUCCUGGCAUGGUUAGCAGCAAUAGAAACACACAAGAAUAUGAUCCUACAGACUACUAAGAAGUGGUGGUGGUGUAUCACAAAUCCGUCAAGCAAAUCUCAAAUUCUUACCAGUUCUUACCCAGCAGCAGGCGGUGAUCGGCAACCGUUGUAGUCAAAAACUCUCAAAGCUUGGAUAGAGCGAUUACCAGGGAGAGUCGAACACACGACGUAGAUGUAUGUGGAGCUGGGAAGGCUUAUAGUAUGGUAGCAAAAAGGGUCAGCAAUAAUCAAUUCAGAGAUGCAAAGUUGAAUAAACGCUCAACGACGGUACUGUGCUGGUCCUAGGCUAGACUGUGCUAGAGACGCGAGCCUAGAACACCAACAAAAUCACGGCGCGGCACGUAAACAAGGGAAAAGCACACUCUGAAAUUUUUCUUUUUUGCUCUUUUUUUUUGCGCUCCUUUUUUUUUGCGCUGCUUUUUUUUUGCGAAAAAUCACUAUAAUGGCGAGUGUCUCAAAACUCUUCCUAGCUCAAACGGACAGGAUGGGCACGAAAUUUUUUUUUCGACCAAUUUUUUUUUUCGACUGCCCGGACCCAAAAACUGGAAACGGGUCAAAAAAAACUUCCUAUAAUGGCACCUGUCUCAAAACACUCAGAAACACCUAAAAAUAGGAUAGCCAAAUUUUUUUUCGAAAAAUGCGUUUUCGAAAAAUUUUGGGCCUAAACGGAGCGUGGCUACCCGACUCUUUUCCGAAACCUACUCCGGCAAGGAAACACGAAUCGGAAUCUAGAUUGAUCCCGAAAACAAACCUAAUAAGCAAGGAACUCGGAUUGGUGGUGGAUAUAUGGUGGUGGUAUAUGGCAGCGGUGGUAGUAUUUGGAUAUGGAUCGGUGGUGGUAUAUGGACACGGAUUGGUGGUGGUAUAUGGAUACGGAUUCGGAGCGGUGGUGGUAGAUGGCAGGGGCGAUGAUGAUGGUGCGGCGACGGCGUGACAACUUGUGAACAGAACUCGAAACUCUAAAAGACUAGACGCUAAGACCAGCAACUGAACACGACGAUGCAACCGCAAAUUCAACAAAGCAAAUACAGAAAAGAUUAUGCAAGGCUCAGAUUGGUUCGGAUGGGAUGAACUAACCCUAAUUUUUUUGUUUGGCUUUUUCGUGGACUAUAGGUAUGAAGAACAGACUCGAUCUAAACUACGAAAAACUGUAAAAUCUCACCGAGCAACCUGGAAAUCUGAUACCACUUGAUAGAGGCGGAGGUGUCCCGUCUUUCGAUGAGAUGGUGGAUUUCGCUUUGGUGGAAGUCGACUUUGACGAUCCGACUACGAACGUGCGAGGACGUCGCGCCUUAGCAAUCGCUAAACCAACUCCGAGAGGUUAUUGACCACGCCGGAGCACGAUCAACCUGACCACGAGGGUCUGUUUCCUGCGAGCAAACGAAGAACAAGCAAGAAACUAAGAUUGCAAUCUGGAUAUUGCGAAUAUAAGAUGAAAGCUUUAUUGAUCAAGGUGGGGUUCUGUGACGCCUUUGUCUGGUCGUUGAACACAAACGAAAUACGCGAAGUUGCAGCUAUGGCGAACUUUUAAUCUAAACAAAACCUAAAGUCUAAACGAUGCCCUAAGGGCUGUAUAUAUGGAGGAAGAGGGGGGAAUUUCGUGGCCCUUGGUGGAGGGGUCCGAAAUCAACCCUAUCUCUUGUUUCCCCACACAUACGGACUCUAAAAAUAGCCUAUACUUAUGUAUUUCGAAAUUACAUGGGCCUGGCCCAAUAAUAAGGUGACGCAGCACCUAAAAUAGCCUCGGGACGAAAUUUAUGAAGUGGCAUCUUGUAUAUUUCGUCCAAGGCUUCAUGCACCCAUUAUGGUGGCUUCAAAGUCCUGAAAUCAUCACUUGUAACUCCGUUAUUGUUCCCCUUGCGCAUGCCAUCAUCUCCAUGCUUGUUCUUGCUCCAAUGUUCAUCCUUCUCCAAGCUAGGCCCUUCAUUUGUAAGCAAAACAAAUGUAUCCAAUUUAGGCAGCAUCAUAUUCUCAUGAACAUUAGAAUCAUUACCAAGAAACGAAAGUACCUGGUAAUUUAGUUGGCGUGCACGAGCUCUAGUAAUUGGUCCAGUAUGUAUAGCAGCAGGGGCUGUGGGUGUAACAAUUGUAUUGAUGUCCUCAUCAAGAAAGGAGUCACAAGUGAUGAUUUCAGGACUUUGAAGCCACCAUAAUGGGUGCAUGAAGCCUUGGACGAAAUAUACAAGAUGCCACUUCAUAAAUUUCGUCCCGAGGCUAUUAUAGGUGCUGCGUCACCUUUUUAUUGGGCCAGGCCCUUGUAAUUUCGAAAUGCAUAGGUAUAGUGAUAUAGGCAAAGGUGUCCCGUCUUUCGAUGAGAUGAUGGAUAUCGCUUUGGUGGCAGUCGACUUUGACGAUCCGACUACGAACGUGCGAGGACGUCGCGCCUUAGCAAUCGCUAAACCAACUCCGAGAGGUUAUUGACCACGCCGGAGCACGAUCAACCUGACCACGAGGGUCUGUUUCCUGCGAGCAAACGAAGAACAAGCAAGAAACUGAGAUUGCAAUCUGGAUAUUGCGAAUAUAAGAUGAAAGCUUUAAUGAUCAAGGUGGGGUUCUGUGACGCCUUUGUCUGGUCGUUGAACACAAACGAAGUACGCGAAGUUGCAGCUAUGGCGAACUUUUAAUCUAAACAAAACCCAAAGUCUAAACGAUGCCCUAAGGGCUGUAUAUAUGGAGGAAGAGGGGGGGAAUUUCGUGGCCCUUGGUGGAGGGGUCCGAAAUCAACCCUAUCUCUUGUUUCCCCACACAUACGGACUCUAAAAAUAGCCUAUACUUAUGUAUUUCGAAAUUACAUGGGCCUGGCCCAAUAAUAAGGUGACGCAGCACCUAAAAUAGCCUCGGAACGAAAUUUAUGAAGUGGUAUCUUGUAUAUUUCGUCCAAGGCUUCAUGCACCCAUUAUGGUGGCUUCAAAGUCCUGAAAUCAUCACUUGUAACUCCGUUCUUGUUCUUGCUCCAAUGUUCAUCCUUCUCCAAGCUAGGCCCUUCAUUUGUAAGCAAAACAAAUGUAUCCAAUUUAGGCGGCAUCAUAUUCUCAUGAACAUUAGAAUCAUUACCAAGAAACGAAAGUACCUGGUAGUUUAGUUGGCGUGCACGAGCUCUAGUAAUUGGUCCAGUAUGUAUAGCAGCAGGGGCUGUGGGUGUAACAAUUGUAUUGAUGUCCUCAUCAUCCUCCCCUUCUUGAAAUGAAGUCGUCCCCGACGGAAGUUCAUCUUCCUCACCCAAAUAAGGCUUCAAAUCUGCAAUGUUAAAAGUGGGACUAACCCCAAAAUCUGCAGGCAGCUCAAGUUUAUAUGCAUUAUCAUUUAUUUUCUCUAACACCUUAAAGGGACCAUCAGCACGUGGCAUUAACUUUGAUUUGCGCAAAUCAGGAAAUCUAUCCUUACGCAAAUGUAACCAAACAAGAUCUCCAGGUGCAAACACAACAUGUUUUCUACCCUUAUCUCCAGCAAGUUUAUAUUUAGCAUUCAUACGCUCAAUGUUUUCCUUAGUUAACUCAUGCAUUUUUAAAAUCAAUUCAGCACGUUGUUUAGCAUCAAAAUUAACCUUCUCCGAAGAUGGAAGAGGCAACAAAUCAAUAGGUGCACGAGGUAGGAAAUCAUACACAACUUCAAAAGGGCACAUCUUAGUAGUAGAAUGCAAUGAACGAUUAUAAGCAAAUUCAAUAUGAGGCAAGCAUUCCUCCCACAUUUUCUUAUUAUUCUUCAAAACAGCCCUAAGCAUAGUAGACAACGUUCUAUUGACUACUUCAGUUUGUCCAUCAGUUUGGGGGUGACAAGUAGUACUAAAAAGCAGUUUAGUCCCCAACUUAGCCCAUAAACAUCUCCAAAAGUGGCUAAGAAAUUUAGUAUCACGAUCUGAAACAAUAGUAUUUGGCACACCAUGCAAGCGAAUAAUUUCACGAAAGAACAAAUCAGCAACAUUAACAGCAUCAUCGCUUUUAUAACAUGGUAUAAAGUGUGCCAUUUUCGAGAAUCUAUCCACGACAACAAAAAUGCUAUCCCUCCCCUUCUUUGUUCGAGGUAAACCUAAAACAAAGUCCAUAGAUAUAUCCUCCCAAGGAACACUAGGUACAGGCAAAGGCAUAUAUAAACCAUGAGGAUUGAGUCGUGACUUAGCUUUUUGACAUGUAGUGCAGCGAGCAAUAAAACGCUCAACAUCCCGUCUCAUCUUUGGCCAAAAGAAAUGUGUAGCAAGUACGUCCUCCGUCUUCUUCACGCCAAAGUGUCCCAUUAAUCCUCCUCCAUGCGCCUCCUGCAACAACAAAAGACGAACGGAGCUAGCUGGAAUGCAUAGCUUGUUAGCACGAAACACAAAUCCAUCGUUAACGACAAACUUGUUCCACAUUCUUCCUUCUUUACAAUUCUGCAUUACAUCUUUAAAAUCAGCAUCAUGCACAUAUUGAUCUUUGAUGGUCUCCAAACCAAAUAUUUUGAAGUCAAGUUGUGAAAGCAUAGUAUAGCGACGAGACAAUGCAUUAGCAAUAACAUUUUCUUUUCCCUUCUUGUGUUUAAUGACAUAAGGGAAAGUCUUAAUGAAUUCAACCCAUUUAGCAUGUCUAGGAUUCAGUUUAGCUUGACUUUUAAUAUGUUUCAAAGAUUCAUGAUCAGAAUGUAUAACAAAUUCUUUGGGCCAUAAAUAAUGUUGCCAUGUUUCUAAAGUCCGAACAAGAGCAUAUAAUUCUUUAUCAUAAGUAGAAUAAUUCAGACUAGGCCCACUCAAUUUUUCAGAAAAGUAUGCAACAGGUUUGCCAUCUUGUAAUAACACACCUCCUAAUCCAAUUCCACUAGCAUCACAUUCAAGCUCAAAAGUCUUAUUAAAAUCAGGAAGUUGGAGUAAAGGAGCAUGUGUCAACUUAUCUUUCAAUACCGUGAAGGCUUCUUCCUGUGCGGUACCCCAAACAAAAGGCACAUCCUUCUUUGUAAGCUCGUUGAGAGGUGCAGCAAUGGUGCUGAAAUCUCUCACAAAACGCCUAUAGAAUCCAGCGAGGCCAAGAACACUCCUCACUUGUGUGACCGUUUUGGGCUGCGGCCAACUCUCAAUAGCUUCAAUCUUGGCUUUGUCAACUUCAAUUCCCUGUGGAGUAACAACAUAGCCAAGAAAAGAUACUCGGUCGGUGCAAAAGGUGCACUUCCCAAGGUUACCAAACAAACGUGCAUCACGUAGAGCAAUAAAAACAGCACGUAAAUGUUCCAAAUGUUCUUCCAAAGAUCUGCUAUAAAUCAGUAUGUCAUCAAAGUAAACUACCACAAAUCGUCCAAUGAAAGCACGUAAAACUUCGUUCAUUAAUCUCAUGAAAGUACUAGGUGCAUUAGUUAACCCAAAAGGCAUGACUAACCACUCAUAUAAUCCAAACUUAGUUUUAAAUGCUGUUUUCCAUUCAUCUCCGAAUUUCAUACGAAUUUGAUGGUAGCCACUACGCAAAUCAACUUUGGAGAAUAUUGUAGAGCCACUCAAUUCAUCAAGCAUAUCAUCUAGCCUAGGAAUAGGAUGACGAUAACGAAUAGUAAUAUUAUUAAUGCCUCUACAAUCAACACACAUACGUGAUGUACCAUCCUUUUUCGGCACUAGAAUAAUAGGAACAGCACAAGGACUAAGGGAUUCGCGUAUAUAACCUUUGUCGAGAAGCUCUUGUACUUGACGCAUAAUCUCCUUCGUCUCCUCUGGAUUGGUAUGGUAUGGUGCACGGUUUGGCAGUGAAGCACCGGGAAUUAAGUCAAUCUGAUGCUCAAUCCCUCGAAUAGGCGGUAAUCCCGGUGGCACGUCUUGUGGAAAAACGUCAGCGAACUCCUGCAAAAUGUUAGUGACAGCAGGAGGCAAAGAGUGAUAGAGGCAAAGGUGUCCCGUCUUUCGAUGAGAUGGUGGAUUUCGCUUUGGUGGAAGUCGACUUUGACGAUCCGACUACGAACGUGCGAGGACGUCGCGCCUUAGCAAUCGCUAAACCAACUCCGAGAGGUUAUUGACCACGCCGGAGCACGAUCAACCUGACCACGAGGGUCUGUUUCCUGCGAGCAAACGAAGAACAACCAAGAAACUAAGAUUGCAAUCUGGAUAUUGCGAAUAUAAGAUGAAAGCUUUAUUGAUCAAGGUGGGGUUCUGUGACGCCUUUGUCUGGUCGUUGAACACAAACGAAGUACGCGAAGUUGCAGCUAUGGCGAACUUUUAAUCUAAACAAAACCCAAAGUCUAAACGAUGCCCUAAGGGCUGUAUAUAUGGAGGAAGAGGGGGGAAUUUCGUGGCCCUUGGUGGAGGGGUCCGAAAUCAACCCUAUCUCUUGUUUCCCCACACAUACGGACUCUAAAAAUAGCCUAUACUUAUGUAUUUCGAAAUUACAUGGGCCUGGCCCAAUAAUAAGGUGACGCAACACCUAAAAUAGCCUCAGGACGAAAUUUAUGAAGUGGCAUCUUGUAUAUUUCGUCCAAGGGUUCAUGCACCCAUUAUGGUGGCUUCAAAGUCCUGAAAUCAUCACUUGUAACUCCGUUCUUGUUCCCCUUGCGCAUGCCAUCAUCUCCAUGCUUGUUCUUGCUCCAAUGUUCAUCCUUCUCCAAGCUAGGCCCUUCAUUUGUAAGCAAAACAAAUGUAUCCAAUUUAGGCAGCAUCAUAUUCUCAUGAACAUUAGAAUCAUUACCAAGAAACGAAAGUACCUGGUAAUUUAGUUGGCGUGCACGAGCUCUAGUAAUUGGUCCAGUAUGUAUAGCAGCAGGGGCUGUGGGUGUAACAAUUGUAUUGAUGUCCUCAUCAUCCUCCCCUUCUUGAAAUGAAGUCGUCCUCGAUGGAAGUUCAUCUUCCUCACCCAAAUAAGGCUUCAAAUCUGCAAUGUUAAAAGUGGGACUAACCCCAAAAUCUGCAGGCAACUCAAGUUUAUAUGCAUUAUAAUUUAUUUUCUCUAACACCUUAAAGGGACCAUCAGCACGUGGCAUUAACUUUGAUUUGCGCAAAUCAGGAAAUCUAUCCUUACGCAAAUGUAACCAAACAAGAUCUCCAGGUGCAAACACAACAUGUUUUCUACCCUUAUCUCCAGCAAGUUUAUAUUUAGCAUUCAUACGCUCAAUGUUUUCCUUAGUUAACUCAUGCAUUUUUAAAAUCAAUUCAGCACAUUGUUUAGCAUCAAAAUUAACCUUCUCCGAAGAUGGAAGAGGCAACAAAUCAAUAGGUGCACGAGGUAGGAAACCAUACACAACUUCAAAAGGGCACAUCUUAGUAGUAGAAUGCAAUGAACGAUUAUAAGCAAAUUCAAUAUGAGGCAAGCAUUCCUCCCACAUUUUCUUAUUAUUCUUCAAAACAGCCCUAAGCAUAGUAGACAACGUUCUAUUGACUACUUCAGUUUGUCCAUCAGUUUGGGGGUGACAAGUAGUACUAAAAAGCAGUUUAGUCCCCAACUUAGCCCAUAAACAUCUCCAAAAGUGGCUAAGAAAUUUAGUAUCACGAUCUGAAACAAUAGUAUUUGGCACACCAUGCAAGCGAAUAAUUUCACGAAAGAACAAAUCAGCAACAUUAACAGCAUCAUCACUUUUAUGACAUGCUAUAAAGUGUGCCAUUUUCGAGAAUCUAUCCACGACAACAAAUAUGCUAUCCCUCCCCUUCUUUUUUCGAGGUAAACCUAAAACAAAGUCCAUAGAUAUAUCCUCCCAAGGAACACUAGGUACAGGCAAAGGCAUAUAUAAACCAUGAGGAUUGAGUCGUGACUUAGCUUUUUGACAUGUAGUGCAGCGAGCAAUAAAACGCUCAACAUCCCGUCUCAUCUUUGGCCAAAAGAAAUGUGUAGCAAGUACGUCCUCCGUCUUCUUCACACCAAAGUGUCCCAUUAAUCCUCCUCCAUGCGCCUCCUGCAACAACAAAAGACGAACGGAGCUAGCUGGAAUGCAUAGCUUGUUAGCACGAAACACAAAUCCAUCGUUAACAACAAACUUGUUCCACAUUCUUCCUUCUUUACAAUUCUGCAUUACAUCUUUAAAAUCAGCAUUAUGCACAUAUUGAUCUUUGAUAGUCUCCAAACCAAAUAUUUUGAAGUCAAGUUGUGAAAGCAUAGUAUAGCGACGAGACAAUGCAUCAGCAAUAACAUUUUCUUUUCCCUUCUUGUGUUUAAUGACAUAAGGGAAAGUCUCAAUGAAUUCAACCCAUUUAGCAUGUCUACGAUUCAGUUUAGCUUGACUUUUAAUAUGUUUCAAAGAUUCAUGAUCAGAAUGUAUAACAAAUUCUUUGGGCCAUAAAUAAUGUUGCCAUGUUUCUAAAGUCCGAACAAGAGCAUAUAAUUCUUUAUCAUAAGUAGAAUAAUUCAGACUAGGCCCACUCAAUUUUUCAGAAAAGUAUGCAACAGGUUUGCCAUCUUGUAAUAACACACCUCCUAAUCCAAUUCCACUAGCAUCACAUUCAAGCUCAAAAGUCUUAUUAAAAUCAGGAAGUUGGAGUAAAGGAGCAUGUGUCAACUUAUCUUUCAAUACCGUGAAGGCUUCUUCCUGUGCGGUACCCCAAACAAAAGGCACAUCCUUCUUUGUAAGCUCGUUGAGAGGUGCAGCAAUGGUGCUGAAAUCUCUCACAAAACGCCUAUAGAAUCCAGCGAGGCCAAGAAAACUCCUCACUUGUGUGACCGUUUUGGGCUUGCUCUUGCUCCAAUGUUCAUCCUUCUCCAAGCUAGGCCCUUCAUUUGUAAGCAAAACAAAUGUAUCCAAUUUAGGCAGCAUCAUAUUCUCAUAAACAUUAGAAUCAUUACCAAGAAACGAAAGUACCUGGUAAUUUAGUUGGCAUGCGCGAGCUCUAGUAAUUGGUCCAGUAUGUAUAGCAGCAGGGGCUAUGGGUGUAAUAAUGGUAUUGAUGUCCUCAUCAGUCUCCAUGCGCGGUCGCGUAGCUUGACUCGGAGUAUGAGUCCAGUAUGGGCGCCGUCUUCAUGUUGUUGAAGUGGUUCGCGCGCGUCGCCAUGGUCGAAGGGGAUGGCCCUUGCUCAACCGUGUUGUCACCGUCUUGGUGUGGGAGUUCCAUAUGAUGUGGCACCUCAUAGCUCGUCUCCAUGACCGAAGGGAGUUUCCCAUGCCCGGCCAUCUUCUUUGAGGGGCUUCCGAAGAUGGAAGUGUCACCCUCGCUCGUAGGUGGUCGCCUUGGACUUGAUGAAGUCAAUGUAGGCGUACUCGUGGGAAGUAGGCGAAGAUGCCGUACGUCCAAAGGCGAAGAUGCCUUGAGAACACUUGGCGAAGAUGCCGAAGUGGUUGAUGUAGCCGUAGCGCCGUCUUGGUGGUGGUCAUCUCGCGGUCUUCUUUUGUGCUCUUGAAGCUUGGACUUGGCGUGAAGUAGGGCUUGUUGGGACUUGUGCAUUUGCGCUUGUAGAGCAUCUUCAUGAUGAUGAUGUCGUUGUCGUGCUUGAGCUCGUAGUAGAUGUCGUUCGUCGUCGUCGUGCACAUGAUGCUUGGAGGUGACUUGCCCUUCAUGUCGAUGUUGAUCACGAACGUGAUGGUGGUCGCCAUGUAGAUGUGGACGAGGACGAUUUGCACUUGCGUCUUUUUCGCGCUCCGAAGACUUGUGGCUUGAACGUCGUCGUCUUGAGGAUGAUGAAGUGGAGGAAGACUUGAUCAAGGUCCGAAUCUCUUCCAUCCUCGCAUCUUGCUCCUCUUUAUGUGCGGCAAGCUUGUUGUCGAUGUAGUCCCUUCUACUUUCUUCAGAGUGACGAAUGUUGAUGGAGAUGUUCUCGAUGCGCUCUCGCAAUCUUGAUUGUGCGCCUUGCACUUGUCGUUGUAGAUCGAAGAUAGACGCUUUGGUGAUGUAGUUGUUCACGCCGUCGUUGUUGUCGAGGACCGGAGAGGAAAUGCCUUGCCUAUCCAUCACAAGACUCGAGCAAAUAUGAGUGUGAGAAAGAGAAGAACUUAUACCAAUGUACCUUGACCGAUGUUGACAAUGAAUCAAGUUCACUCAAAUGCGGACAAUGAAAUAGCACUAUUGGUACCAAUCCUUGUCGGUUCUCACACCUACACAAGUAAAGCUUAUAGUAGAGCUCGGUGAGGAUAGUGGCACAAAAAUUUAAUGCAAAAUGUUAGCAAGAGUCAAUAAUGUUGAAAGAGAUUCACAAAUUCGCAAGCAAGUAGACCAAUAGCAAUAUGUGGCACACGGAAACACAUACACGGAUAGAUAAAUGGGGUCGUGCAACCAAGGAGUGAGCACAAAAUGUGGAAUCCACGGAAAACGCUCGUGUUGCACAACUCAAGAGAGACGCUUGCAUGAUUGCUCAAUAGGCGGAUACGACACUUGUGCACAACCUAUAAGAUGCAAAAUGGAUAAACUUCUAUCCCAAGUAUGCUAUUAUGUAUGGUUCCCGGUGUUUCUCUCAAGAUGAUCCAAGAUGAUCGGAUAUGACAAUCUUAUAUGCAAUGUGGUAUGAUGCUAUGGCACUUGCUUACAAGCUUCUUUGCUCUUUCUCUUUUUCUUAAAAGCUUUAUUUCUUUUUUUUUCUAUGGCCACUUUGCACAAUGCACAAACCAAGAUAGCAAUUGUGUAUAUGUGGGAACAAACUUGUGACACAAGAUAUGAUAGCAAGAUAUGCACCACGAUGAUAUGGUAUGUAUGCUAUGGGAAGUAUAGAUCACUAAUGUGCACAAGUAACGUUGCCGGCAAUACUCAAAUGGCUAGUCUCGAUAGGCAAGUAACGCAAAAGUAAGGCUAGGGGUUAACAAUGCAAUGGCAAGGGGAAUAUACAAUGGAGGGAUACCACGAUACCAAGAUGAUAUGGAGGUUACCGUCCGGUGAUGAUGAGUAGUGGUGUUCUUGAUGUAGAAACCAAGAUGAUGGAGACUCGUCCCUAAGUAGCCGAAACACCUUAGGAAACGAAAAAACCACGAAGUCAAAAUCUCACACGUCAAAUCUCAAAAUGGUGGUAGCGGAGAGCGGUGGUGGUGUGCACUAGGCAAUGCGGAGGUGGGAUGACGGGCUAUACAUGUGUCAAAUUUGAAGUUGCCAUCCCUAAGUAGCCGAAACACCUUAGGAGACACAAGCCACAACUCGAACAAGCUCAAACAACAAUUGGGUUAAGUUGGGUUAUCGGAAGUGUAUGGUGGGAAGGUUAUGUGGAAGUGGUGGUAGUGGUGGUUGAUGAAGAAGUAAUCGUCCCUAAGUAGCCGAACCACCUUAGGAGACUCUAAUCACGACUCAUACAACCACAUAUGCAAUGGGGAACAAAAUGGGUUAGGUUGCGGAAGUUGGUGCUGGCUAUGCGGAUGAUAUGGUGGAAGGCCUAGGCAAACUUGCCAAAUUUUCAAAAAUUUGAUGGAGUCAAAUGGUGUUGGUCAUAUUUUUGUGGGAUGGGGGAUGUCAAUAGCUUCAAAACGAGCUAACGAACGUCAAAAUCGGACUCCGGAUGAAUUAGUUAUGACCUGAUAGAGGCGAGGGUCCCGAUCUUUCGAUGAGAUGAUAACUAUCGAUUUGGUGGAGACGACUUUGACAAUCCGACUACAAACGUGCACGACGUUGCGCCUUAGCAAUCGCUAAACCAAUCUCCUGAGGUUACUGACGAUGCUGGAAGCAAGGUCAGCCUGACCACGAAGGUCUAUUCCUGCAAGCAAUCGAAGAACGAGCAAGAAUAUGAUAAAGCAAUCUGAAUAUUGCAAAUAUAUAUGAAGUAUUGAUAAUGGUGGGGAUCCGAAAAGUGGUCUUGGUCUGGUCGUUGGACACAGACGAAGUACACGAAGUUGCAAUGGCUAACUUUUAACUAAACAAAUCCCAAGGAAAAGCUACUAGAUGGAUCUACUUAUAUAGGAGCAAGGGGUGGCGGCCAAGGAGGUGGGAGGACGUCCCAAGGCAGCCUAAAACUAAAUCUAGGUCGUACAAGGCCAAUGGGCCCAAGUGGAGGUGAUGUAACACCUUUGGACUUGUAGUUUGACUCGGAUUCUGCUGUAGCAUCAGAUUGUUUCGUCCACAACUCAACGCUCCGGACGAAUUUGAAGGUGAUUCCAAUUGGGUUGGAAAGUGCACGAAAUCUAGUUUCCAACAAAAAAAGAAUCACCCAAUUCGGAGUCCGCAUGAAAAACUUGUGUGCGUUUUGAGUCAGGUAUGUCUGUGCAGUCCGAAUCUGAAUCCAGAACGUGAGAGACUUGGACUCUAUCUUCUCUUGGGCCAAAAGUGACGUGAGAGAACUUUUUGGACAGCAAAUAAACAUCUCUUUCUUCCUUAUCUUCAUAUGUGGAUUGUACAAAUGUCCCAUACACCUGCAAUUAGACAAAACACAAAAGUGUGUGAAGUAUUUUUGUUCUGGAUAACAUAAAUAGAUUAUUGAAUAGUUUGCAAUAGAAAUCACCUGACAAAUAUGCAUAUAUGCAAUAUUUUUGGUCAUAUCCAAGGUAGUCAUGUCCUCAUCACCUCCCACAUUUUCUUAUUAUUCUUCAAAACAGCCCUAAGCAUAGUAGACAACGUCCUAUUGACUACUUCAGUUUGUCCAUCAGUUUGGGGGUGACAAGUAGUACUAAAAAGCAGUUUAGUCCCCAACUUAGCCCAUAAACAUCUCCAAAAGUGGCUAAGAAAUUUAGUAUCACGAUCUGAAACAAUAGUAUUUGGCACACCAUGCAAGCGAAUAAUUUCACGAAAGAACAAAUCAGCAACAUUAACAGCAUCAUCGCUUUUAUGACAUGGUAUAAAGUGUGCCAUUUUCGAGAAUCUAUCCACGACAACAAAUAUGCUAUCCCUCCCCUUCUUUGUUCGAGGUAAACCUAAAACAAAGUCCAUAGAUAUAUCCUCCCAAGGAACACUAGGUACAGGCAAAGGCAUAUAUAAACCAUGAGGAUUGAGGCGUGACUUAGCUUUUUGACAUGUAGUGCAGCGAGCAAUAAAACGCUCAACAUCCCGUCUCAUCUUUGGCCAAAAGAAAUGUGUAGCAAGUACGUCCUCCGUCUUCUUCACACCAAAGUGUCCCAUUAAUCCUCCUCCAUGCGCCUCCUGCAACAACAAAAGACGAACAGAGCUAGCUGGAAUGCAUAGCUUGUUAGCACGAAACACAAAUCCAUCGUUAACAACAAACUUGUUCCACAUUCUUCCUUCUUUACAAUUCUGCAUUACAUCUUUAAAAUCAGCAUCAUGCACAUAUUGAUCUUUGAUGGUCUCCAAACCAAAUAUUUUGAAGUCAAGUUGUGAAAGCAUAGUAUAGCGACGAGACAAUGCAUCAGCAAUAACAUUUUCUUUUCCCUUCUUGUGUUUAAUGACAUAAGGGAAAGUCUCAAUGAAUUCAACCCAUUUAGCAUGUCUACGAUUCAGUUUAGCUUGACUUUUAAUAUGUUUCAAAGAUUCAUGAUCAGAAUGUAUAACAAAUUCUUUGGGCCAUAAAUAAUGUUGCCAUGUUUCUAAAGUCCGAACAAGAGCAUAUAAUUCUUUAACAUAAGUAGAAUAAUUCAGACUAGGCCCACUCAAUUUUUCAGAAAAGUAUGCAACAGGUUUGCCAUCUUGUAAUAACACACCUCCUAAUCCAAUUCCACUAGCAUCACAUUCAAGCUCAAAAGUCUUAUUAAAAUCAGGAAGUUGGAGUAAAGGAGCAUGUGUCAACUUAUCUUUCAAUACCGUGAAGGCUUCUUCCUGUGCGGUACCCCAAACAAAAGGCACAUCCUUCUUUGUAAGCUCGUUGAGAGGUGCAGCAAUGGUGCUGAAAUCUCUCACAAAACGCCUAUAGAAUCCAGCGAGGCCAAGAAAACUCCUCACUUGUGUGACCGUUUUGGGCUGCGGCCAACUGUCAAUAGCUUCAAUCUUGGCUUUGUCAACUUCAAUUCCCUGUGGAGUAACAACAUAGCCAAGAAAAGAUACUCGGUCGGUGCAAAAGGUGCACUUCCCAAGGUUACCAAACAAACGUGCAUCACGUAGAGCAAUAAAACAGCACGUAAAUGUUCCAAAUGUUCUUCCAAAGAUCUGCUAUAAAUCAGUAUGUCAUCAAAGUAAACUACCACAAAUCGUCCAAUGAAAGCACGUAAAACUUCGUUCAUUAAUCUCAUGAAAGUACUAGGUGCAUUAGUUAACCCAAAAGGCAUGACUAACCACUCAUAUAAUCCAAACUUAGUUUUAAAUGCUGUUUUCCAUUCAUCUCCCAAUUUCAUACGAAUUUGAUGGUAGCCACUAUGCAAAUCAACUUUGGAGAAUAUUGUAGAGCCACUCAAUUCAUCAAGCAUAUCAUCUAGCCUAGGAAUAGGAUGACGAUAACGAAUAGUAAUAUUAUUAAUGCCUCUACAAUCAACACACAUACGUGAUGUACCAUCCUUUUUCGGCACUAGAAUAAUAGGAACAGCACAAGGACUAAGGGAUUCGCGUAUAUAACCUUUGUCGAGAAGCUCUUGUACUUGACGCAUAAUCUCCUUCGUCUCCUCUGGAUUGGUACGGUACGGUGCACGGUUUGGCAGUGAAGCACCGGGAAUUAAGUCAAUCUGAUGCUCAAUCCCUCGAAUAGGCGGUAAUCCCGGUGGCACGUCUUGUGGAAAAACGUCAGCGAACUCCUGCAAAAUGUUAGUGACAGCAGGAGGCAAAGAGGAAGGCACGUCCUCGAAUGAAAAUAAUGCCUCUUUGCACACAAAUGCAUAGCAAACAGAUUUGCUGAAAUCUAGCUCAUCAAUAUCAGAUUUGGUGGCAAAUAAACAUGCACUUUUCAAUUUAAUUUCAGAAGCAACACUAGAUGGUUUAUUAUUAGGCUUCAUUUGUUGCUCAAAUUCUUUUGCCACAAUCUGAUUUUCACUCUUAUUCUUCUCCUGUUGUGCUUUAUUAGCUCUAUUAAUAUCAUCUUUCAAAAUGGAAUCAGGAGUCAUAGGAAGCAAAGUAAUAUUUUUAUCCUUAUGAACAAGAGUGUAGUGAUUGUUUCUACCAUGGUGUACAGAAUUUUUAUCAAAUUGCCAUGGUCUACCAAGUAAUAAGGAACAUGCUUGCAUAGGUACCACAUCACAAUCAACAUAAUCAGCAUAGGUAGAGAUACUAAAAUGCACACGAACAGUACGUGUUACCUUAACCUUGCCGCUGUUGUUGAACCAUUGGAUGUAGUAAGGAUGUGGAUGUGGUCUUGUGGUGAGAGAAAGCUUCUCCACCAUCUCCAUGCUAGCCAAGUUGUUGCAGCUCCCUCCGUCUAUGAUGACGCGCACAGAACGUUCCUUCACAACUCCCUUGGUAUGGAACAAAUUGUUCCUCUGAUUUUGCUCAGCUUGUGUGACCUGCACACUCAAAACACGUUGAGCAACUAAACAUUCAUACCUGUCAGCGUCUUCAGGAGACAUGUAUUGCGUCUCAUGAUCAGAAUCAUCUCCACCAUGUUCUUCACGUGUAAUAAGAGCCAAAGUCUCCUCAUCAUAGUCACUAGCGGACUCAUAUCCACCAUCCGCGGUAGCAAUCAUCACACGCGGAGAUUUGCAUUCUCUCGCAUAAUGACCUCCUCCCUUACAACGACGACAAAUAAUAUCACUUGUGUGCCCUGUUGAUGCCAUGGAAGAAGAAGAACGCUGUGCAGGCCCCGCAGGUGCGCUCUUGGCAGAUAAUGGUGGUUGUGCCUGUUUUCUUGUAUCACGGCUGGAGGUGGCACCGGAUGGAGGUGCUGGUGCAGUUGAAGUAGAAGAUGCACGUGGUGUCCAUGAUGAAGGUCGGCCUGCAGAAAAGUUAGUUCGCCCCAAUGCUUGUCGAUCCUGCACUUCACGUUCAGCUUUACAAGCAAGAUGGAAUAAACGAGUGAUAUUAGUAUACUCCUUAUAGUCUAAAAUGGUCUGAAUCUCUCUAUUUAAUCCACCCAGAAAAUGUGCAAGCAUAGCUUCAUUCUCCUCAACAAUACCACAUCUAAUCAUGCCAGUUUGUAAUUCCUGAUAAUAUUCUUCUACAGAAUUUUUCCCUUGUCUUAAACGCUGCAAUUUUUGAAGCAAUUUGAUGAGGACAUCAAUACAAUUGUUACACCCACAGCCCCUGCUGCUAUACAUACUGGACCAAUUACUAGAGCUCGUGCACGCCAACUAAAUUACCAGGUACUUUCGUUUCUUGGUAAUGAUUCUAAUAUUCAUGAGAAUAUGAUGCUGCCUAAAUUGGAUACAUUUGUUUUGCUUACAAAUGAAGGGCCUAGCUUGGAGAAGGAUGAACAUUGGAGCAAGAACAAGCAUGGAGAUGAUGGCAUGCGCAAGGGGAACAAGAACGGAGUUACAAGUGAUGAUUUCAGGACUUUGAAGCCACCAUAAUGGGUGCAUGAAGCCUUGGACGAAAUAUACAAGAUGCCACUUCAUAAAUUUCGUCCCGAGGCUAUUUUAGGUGCUGCGUCACCUUAUUAUUGGGCCAGGCCCAUGUAAUUUCGAAAUACAUAAGUAUAGGCUAUUUUUAGAGUCCGUAUGUGUGGGGGAAACAAGAGAUAGGGUUGAUUUCGGAUCCCUCCACCAAGGGCCACGAAAUUCCCCCCCUCUUCCUCCAUAUAUACAGCCCUUAGGGCAUCGUUUAGACUUUGGGUUUUGUUUAGAUUAAAAGUUCGCCAUAGCUGCAACUUCGCGUACUUCGUUUGUGUUCAACGACCAGACAAAGGCGUCACAGAACCCCACCUUGAUCAAUAAAGCUUUCAUCUUAUAUUCGCAAUAUCCAGAUUGCAAUCUUAGUUUCUUGCUUGUUCUUCGUUUGCUCGCAGGAAACAGACCCUCGUGGUCAGGUUGAUCGUGCUCCGGCGUGGUCAAUAACCUCUCGGAGUUGGUUUAGCGAUUGCUAAGGCGCGACGUCCUCGCACGUUCGUAGUCGGAUCGUCAAAGUCGACUUCCACCAAAGCGAUAUCCAUCAUCUCAUCGAAAGAUCGGGACCCUCGCCUCUAUCAGUAGUUUGUAAAUCAUCAUAAUAUUUUGUUACAGUUUCACUACCUUGUUUUAAGUGUUGCAACUUCUUAAUCAUGUCACGAGUAUAAUAAGCAGGGACGAAAGUAUGUCGCAUGGCAAGUUUCAAAUCAUCCCAAGUAGUAGGUAUAUAAUCAGGGUGUAACCGACAAUAUUCACUCCACCAAACCAAAGCAUAACCAGUGAAAGAACCAACCGCAACCUUAACCUUUUUAUGUUCAUUGAAAUUAUGGGAAGCAAAUAUAUUUUUUAUGUCGAACUCCCAUUCAAUAUAUAAAGCAGGUUUAAAACGGCCAUUAAAUGGUGGUAUAGAUACAUUAACCUGAUCAUGUGCAUUUGGAUGUUUGUGCACCUCUCGUGACGGUUGUGGUAUUUGCAAAGGUGGUGGCACGUCUCCCGCGAUCGACAAAGCCCAUGAAUUGACUCUGGAUCCUGUCAUGAUCAGUAGAACAAGAAACAAAACCCAAAAAUAAUGUUCCUAUAACUACUAGGAUGUGGUGGUAAAACGCUCACAGUAAAGCAAAUAUCAAUGUCUUACAAGUUCUUACCAUGCAGCAGGCGGUGAUCGGCAACCAGCGGUGUCAAGUAACUCCGAAUAUUGAGUAAAGCGAUUGCCAGGGGAGCGUAUGUAUACACGGUGUAGAAAUAUGUGGAGCUGGGUUGGCUAUAUAUGGUAGCAAAAGAUUAGCAAUAAUCAAUUCAAAGAUGCAAUGUUGAAUAAACGCUCAACGACGGUACUGUGUUGGUCCUAGGCUAGACCGGACUAGAGACGCGAGCCUAGAACACUAAUGAGGUCACGGCGUAGCACAACUAGCAUCAAUGAAGGAUACUAAGUAGCUCUUGACAACAAGAUAUAAGUGAAGAUCACAACGGCAGUGAAGAUAAUGAUGAAAAACAACUGCCAAGCAGGAUAUACAACAACUCUCUCUCCAACUUUCCUCUUGAAAAGUUUGAGACAAUUUUCUGAUAAAUUCUUUCAAAGAAUGCUACUAACUCAAGCUUUCCAAUGCAAAAAGAAUCACUCAAUUCCGAGUUGAUAUGAUGAGUCAAAGAAUUCUAAAACUGGCCUGAAAAAUUGGAACAAGCUGUGUUCACGAACUUCGGAGGGCAAAAAGACCUAUUUAGAAGCCGAUUUUGAGGUGUUAAAUAUUGAACUAGCUUCUGCAACUAUUUAGAUGCGGCUCGUCGCUAUCUUCAAUUUGAGUACUCACGGAGCCAAAACGGAAUUCGUAUGAGGAAGAUACACCUAUUUUACUGAACAGUGCGCAAAACAGAUUCCAAUCCGAAUUCAGGUACGAGAUUGAUUCUAGAUAGAUCCAAUUUUUUUCUUCUCUCUUUUUUUUCUCACGCUUUUUUUUUCUUCUCUCUCUUUUUCUUUUCUUUUUUUCUCUUUUUUUCUCUAUCUUUUUUUUCUCCCUCUUUCCAAGACAAACUAGAUAAGAUGCAGAUUGGAUCAGGCGAAGAUGUGAAUGACCUCAACUAUGAUUAUGACAAUGAACAGUGCAUAGCACGUGGUGGAAAUUGAUGUAUGGGUGGUGGACAGCGGAAGGGAUAACGAUGCAGCGGCGACGUGACUAAUGUGAACAGAACUCGAAACUCUAAACGACCUAGACACUAAGACCAGCAACUCGACACGACGAUGCAACCGAUAAUUCAACUAUGCAAGCAAUGAAAAGAAAAUUGCAAAGGCUCAUACUGGCUUGGACAAAGGAUGAAUAGAUCGAACUCUUUUUUGUGGAUUUUUCUUGGACAAUAGGUAAGAAAAUAAAUCUAAUCUAGGAAAAACUGGAAAUUCUCACCGAGCAACCUGAAAACUGAUACCACUUGAUAGAGGCGAGGGUCCCGAUCUUUCGAUGAGAUGAUAACUAUCGAUUUGGUGGAGACGACUUUGACAAUCCGACUACAAACGUGCACGACGUUGCGCCUUAGCAAUCGCUAAACCAAUCUCCUGAGGUUACUGACGAUGCUGGAAGCAAGGUCAGCCUAACCACGAAGGUCUAUUCCUGCAAGCAAUCGAAGAACGAGCAAGAAUAUGAUAAAGCAAUCUGAAUAUUGCAAAUAUAUAUGAAGUAUUGAUAAUGGUGGGGAUCCGAAAAGUGGUCUUGGUCUGGUCGUUGGACACAGACGAAGUACACGAAGUUGCAAUGGCUAACUUUUAACUAAACAAAUCCCAAGGAAAAGCUACUAGAUGGAUCUACUUAUAUAGGAGCAAGGGGUGGCGGCCAAGGAGGUGGGAGGACGUCCCAAGGCAGCCUAAAACUAAAUCUAGGUCGUACAAGGCCAAUGGGCCCAAGUGGAGGUGAUGUAACACCUUUGGACUUGUAGUUUGACUCGGAUUCUGCUGCAGCAUCAGAUUGUUUCGUCCACAACUCAAUGUUCCGGACGAAUUUGAAGGUGAUUCCAAUUGGGUUGGAAAGUGCACGAAAUCUAGUUUCCAACAAAAAACGAAUCACCCAAUUCGGAGUCCGUAUGAAAAACUUGUGUGCGUUUUGAGUCAGGUAUGUCUGUGCAGUCCGAAUCUGAAUCCAGAACGUGAGAGACUUGGACUCUAUCUUCUCUUGGGCCAAAAGUGACGUGAGAGAACUUUUUGGACAGCAAAUAAACAUCUCUUUCUUCCUUAUCUUCAUAUGUGGAUUGUACAAAUGUCCCAUACACCUGCAAUUAGACAAAACACAAAAGUGUGUGAAGUAUUUUUGUUCUGGAUAACAUAAAUAGAUUAUUGAAUAGUUUGCACUAGAAAUCACCUGACAAAUAUGCAUAUAUGCAAUAUUUUUGGUCAUAUCCAAGGUAGUCAUGUCCUCAUCAUGACCAAAACAAAAUUUCAGCCGUGUCAGUUUCAGGGUUAACCGGACAUCCGGGAGGAGGUCCGGAUGAUCCGGGCUAGGUCCGGAUGAUCCGGGUGUACAUCCGGAUGAUCCGGGUUCGUCAGCUCCGGUUCUGUUUGCUGGGUGCGUGGGUUAUUGAUAGAGGCAAAGGUGUCCCGUCUUUCGAUGAGAUGAUGGAUAUCGCUUUGGUGGAAGUCGACUUUGACGAUCCGACUACGAACGUGCGAGGACGUCGCGCCUUAGCAAUCGCUAAACCAACUCCGAGAGGUUAUUGACCACGCCGGAGCACGAUCAACCUGACCACGAGGGUCUGUUUCCUACGAGCAAACGAAGAACAAGCAAGAAACUAAGAUUGCAAUCUGGAUAUUGCGAAUAUAAGAUGAAAGCUUUAUUGAUCAAGGUGGGGUUCUGUGACGCCUUUGUCUGGUCGUUGAACACAGACGAAGUACGCGAAGUUGCAGCUAUGGCGAACUUUUAAUCUAAACAAAACCCAAAGUCUAAACGAUGCCCUAAGGGCUGUAUAUAUGGAGGAAGAGGAGGGGAAUUUCGUGGCCCUUGGUGGAGGGGUCCGAAAUCAACCCUAUCUCUUGUUUCCCCACACAUACGGACUCUAAAAAUAGCCUAUACUUAUGUAUUUCGAAAUUACAUGGGCCUGGCCCAAUAAUAAGGUGACGCAGCACCUAAAAUAGCCUCGGGACGAAAUUUAUGAAGUGGCAUCUUGUAUAUUUCGUCCAAGGCUUCAUGCACCCAUUAUGGUGGCUUCAAAGUCCUGAAAUCAUCACUUGUAACUCCGUUCUUGUUUCCCUUGCGCAUGCCAUCAUCUCCAUGCUUGUUCUUGCUCCAAUGUUCAUCCUUCUCCAAGCUAGGCCCUUCAUUUGUAAGCAAAACAAAUGUAUCCAAUUUAGGCAGCAUCAUAUUCUCAUGAACAUUAGAAUCAUUACCAAGAAACGAAAGUACCUGGUAAUUUAGUUGGCGUGCACGAGCUCUAGUAAUUGGUCCAGUAUGCAUAGCAGCUGGGGCUGUGGGUGUAACAAUUGUAUUGAUGUCCUCAUCAUCCUCCCCUUCUUGAAAUGAAGUCGUCCUCGACGGAAGUUCAUCUUCCUCACCCAAAUAAGGCUUCAAAUCUGCAAUGUUAAAAGUGGGACUAACCCCAAAAUCUGCAGGCAGCUCAAGUUUAUAUGCAUUAUCAUUUAUUUUCUCUAACACCUUAAAGGGACCAUCAGCACGUGGCAUUAACUUUGAUUUGCGCAAAUCAGGAAAUCUAUCCUUACGCAAAUGUAACCAAACAAGAUCUCCAGGUGCAAACACAACAUGUUUUCUACCCUUAUCUCCAGCAAGUUUAUAUUUAGCAUUCAUGCGCUCAAUGUUUUCCUUAGUUAACUCAUGCAUUUUUAAAAUCAAUUCAGCACGUUGUUUAGCAUCAAAAUUAACCUUCUCCGAAGAUGGAAGAGGCAACAAAUCAAUAGGUGCACGAGGUAGGAAAUCAUACACAACUUCAAAAGGGCACAUCUUAGUAGUAGAAUGCAAUGAACGAUUAUAAGCAAAUUCAAUAUGAGGCAAGCAUUCCUCCCACAUUUUCUUAUUAUUCUUCAAAACAACCCUAAGCAUAGUAGACAACGUUCUAUUGACUACUUCAGUUUGUCCAUCAGUUUGGGGGUGACAAGUAGUACUAAAAAGCAGUUUAGUCCCCAACUUAGCCCAUAAACAUCUCCAAAAGUGGCUAAGAAAUUUAGUAUCACGAUCUGAAACAAUAGUAUUUGGCACACCAUGCAAGCGAAUAAUUUCACGAAAGAACAAAUCAGCAACAUUAACAGCAUCAUCGCUUUUAUGACAUGGUAUAAAGUGUGCCAUUUUCGAGAAUCUAUCCACGACAACAAAUAUGCUAUCCCUCCCCUUCUUUGUUUGAGGUAAACCUAAAACAAAGUCCAUAGAUAUAUCCUCCCAAGGAACACUAGGUACAGGCAAAGGCAUAUAUAAACCAUGAGGAUUGAGGCGUGACUUAGCUUUUUGACAUGUAGUGCAGCGAGCAAUAAAACGCUCAACAUCCCGUCUCAUCUUUGGCCAAAAGAAAUGUGUAGCAAGUACGUCCUCUGUCUUCUUCACGCCAAAGUGUCCCAUUAAUCCUCCUCCAUGCGCCUCCUGCAACAACAAAAGACGAACGGAGCUAGCUGGAAUGCAUAGCUUGUUAGCACGAAACACAAAUCCAUCGUUAACAACAAACUUGUUCCACAUUCUUCCUUCUUUACAAUUAUGCAUUACAUCUUUAAAAUCAGCAUCAUGCACAUAUUGAUCUUUGAUGGUCUCCAAACCAAAUAUUUUGAAGUCAAGUUGUGAAAGCAUAGUGUAGCGACGAGACAAAGCAUCAGCAAUAACAUUUUCUUUUCCCUUCUUGUGUUUAAUGACAUAAGGGAAAGUCUCAAUGAAUUCAACCCAUUUAGCAUGUCUACGAUUCAGUUUAGCUUGACUUUUAAUAUGUUUCAAUGAUUCAUGAUCAGAAUGUAUAACAAAUUCUUUGGGCCAUAAAUAAUGUUGCCAUGUUUCUAAAGUCCGAACAAGAGCAUAUAAUUCUUUAUCAUAAGUAGAAUAAUUCAGACUAGGCCCACUCAAUUUUUCAGAAAAGUAUGCAACAGGUUUGCCAUCUUGUAAUAACACACCCCCUAAUCCAAUUCCACUAGCAUCACAUUCAAGCUCAAAAGUCUUAUUAAAAUCAGGAAGUUGGAGUAAAGGAGCAUGUGUCAACUUAUCUUUCAAUACCGUGAAGGCUUCUUCCUGUGCGGUACCCCAAAGAAAAGGCACAUCUUUCUUUGUAAGCUCAUUGAGAGGUGCAGUGAUAGAGGCAAAGGUGUCCCGUCUUUCGAUGAGAUGGUGGAUUUCGCUUUGGUGGAAGUCGACUUUGACGAUCCGACUACGAACGUGCGAGGACGUCGCGCCUUAGCAAUCGCUAAACCAACUCCGAGAGGUUAUUGACCACGCCGGAGCACGAUCAACCUGACCACGAAGGUCUGUUUCCUGCGAGCAAACGAAGAACAAGCAAGAAACUAAGAUUGCAAUCUGGAUAUUGCGAAUAUAAGAUGAAAGCUUUAUUGAUCAAGGUGGGGUUCUGUGACGCCUUUGUCUGGUCGUUGAACACAAACGAAGUACGCGAAGUUGCAGCUAUGGCGAACUUUUAAUCUAAACAAAACCCAAAGUCUAAACGAUGCCCUAAGGGCUGUAUAUAUGGAGGAAGAGGGGGGGAAUUUCGUGGCCCUUGGUGGAGGGGUCCGAAAUCAACCCUAUCUCUUGUUUCCCCAAACAUACGGACUCUAAAAAUAGCCUAUACUUAUGUAUUUCGAAAUUACAUGGGCCUGGCCCAAUAAUAAGGUGACGCAGCACCUAAAAUAGCCUCGGGACGAAAUUUAUGAAGUGGCAUCUUGUAUAUUUCGUCCAAGGCUUCAUGCACCCAUUAUGGUGGCUUCAAAGUCCUGAAAUCAUCACUUGUAACUCCAUUCUUGUUCUUGCUCCAAUGUUCAUCCUUCUCCAAGCUAGGCCCUUCAUUUGUAAGCAAAACAAAUGUAUCCAAUUUAGGCAGCAUCAUAUUCUCAUGAACAUUAGAAUCAUUACCAAGAAAUGAAAGUACCUGGUAAUUUAGUUGGCGUGCACGAGCUCUAGUAAUUGGUCCAGUAUGUAUAGCAGCAGGGGCUGUGGGUGUAACAAUUGUAUUGAUGUCCUCAUCAUCCUCCCCUUCUUGAAAUGAAGUCGUCCUCGACGGAAGUUCAUCUUCCUCACCCAAAUAAGGCUUCAAAUCUGCAAUGUUAAAAGUGGGACUAACCCCAAAAUUUGCAGGCAGCUCAAGUUUAUAUGCAUUAUCAUUUAUUUUCUCUAACACCUUAAAGGGACCAUCAGCACGUGGCAUUAUGAUAGAGGCAAAGGUGUCCCGUCUUUCGAUGAGAUGGUGGAUUUCGCUUUGGUGGAAGUCGACUUUGACGAUCCGACUACGAACGUGCGAGGACGUCGCGCCUUAGCAAUCGCUAAACCAACUCCGAGAGGUUAUUGACCACGCCGGAGCACGAUCAACCUGACCACGAAGGUCUGUUUCCUGCGAGCAAACGAAGAACAAGCAAGAAACUAAGAUUGCAAUCUGGAUAUUGCGAAUAUAAGAUGAAAGCUUUAUUGAUCAAGGUGGGGUUCUGUGACGCCUUUGUCUGGUCGUUGAACACAAACGAAGUACGCGAAGUUGCAGCUAUGGCGAACUUUUAAUCUAAACAAAACCCAAAGUCUAAACGAUGCCCUAAGGGCUGUAUAUAUGGAGGAAGAGGGGGGAAUUUCGUGGCCCUUGGUGGAGGGGUCCGAAAUCAACCCUAUCUCUUGUUUCCCCACACAUACGGACUAUAAAAAUAGCCUAUACUUAUGUAUUUCGAAAUUACAUGGGCCUGGCCCAAUAAUAAGGUGACGCAGCACCUAAAAUAGCCUCGGGACGAAAUUUAUGAAGUGGCAUCUUGUAUAUUUCGUCCAAGGCUUCAUGCACCCAUUAUGGUGGCUUCAAAGUCCUGAAAUCAUCACUUGUAACUCCGUUCUUGUUCCCCUUGCGCAUGCCAUCAUCUCCAUGCUUGUUCUUGCUCCAAUGUUCAUCCUUUUCCAAGCUAGGCCCUUCAUUUGUAAGCAAAACAAAUGUAUCCAAUUUAGGCAGCAUCAUAUUCUCAUGAACAUUAGAAUCAUUACCAAGAAACGAAAGUACCUGGUAAUUUAGUUGGCGUGCACGAGCUCUAGUAAUUGGUCCAGUAUGUAUAGCAGCAGGGGCUGUGGGUGUAACAAUUGUAUUGAUGUCCUCAUCAGUAAAUGUUCCAAAUGUUCUUCCAAAGAUCUGCUAUAAAUCAAUAUGUCAUCAAAGUAAACUACCACAAAUCGUCCAAUGAAAGCACGUAAAACUUCGUUCAUUAAUCUCAUGAAAGUACUAGGUGCAUUAGUUAACCCAAAAGGCAUGACUAACCACUCAUAUAAUCCAAACUUAGUUUUAAAUGCUGUUUUCCAUUCAUCUCCCAAUUUCAUACGAAUUUGAUGGUAGCCACUACGCAAAUCAACUUUGGAGAAUAUUGUAGAGCCACUCAAUUCAUCAAGCAUAUCAUCUAGCCUAGGAAUAGGAUGACGAUAACGAAUAGUAAUAUUAUUAAUGCCUCUACAAUCAACACACAUACGUGAUGUACCAUCCUUUUUCGGCACUAGAAUAAUAGGAACAGCACAAGGACUAAGGGAUUCGCGUAUAUAACCUUUGUCGAGAAGCUCUUGUACUUGACGCAUAAUCUCCUUCGUCUCCUCUGGAUUGGUACGGUAUGGUGCACGGUUUGGCAGUGAAGCACCGGGAAUUAAGUCAAUCUGAUGCUCAAUCCCUCGAAUAGGCGGUAAUCCCGGUGGCACGUCUUGUGGAAAAACGUCAGCGAACUCCUGCAAAAUUUUAGUGACAGCAGGAGGCAAAUAGGAAGGCACGUCCUCGAAUGAAAAUAAUGCCUCUUUGCACACAAAAGCAUAGCAAACAGAUUUGCUGAAAUCUAGCUCAUCAAUAUCAGAUUUGGUGGCAAAUAAACAUGCACUUUUCAAUUUAAUUUCAGAAGCAACACUAGAUGGUUUAUUAUUAGGCUUCAUUUGUUGCUCAAAUUCUUUUGCCACAAUCUGAUUUUCACUCUUAUUCUUCUCCUGUUGUGCUUUAUUAUCUCUAUUAAUAUCAUCUUUCAAAAUGGAAUCAGGAGUCAUAGGAAGCAAAGUAAUAUUUUUAUCCUUAUGAACAAGAGUGUAGUGAUUGUUUCUACCAUGGUGUACAGAAUUUUUAUCAAAUUGCCAUGGUCUACCAAGUAAUAAGGAACAUGCUUGCAUAGGUACCACAUCACAAUCAACAUAAUCAGCAUAGGUAGAGAUACUAAAAUGCACACGAACAGUACGUGUUACCUUAACCUUGCCGCUGUUGUUGAACCAUUGGAUGUAGUAAGGAUGUGGAUGUGGUCUUGUGGUGAGAGAAAGCUUCUCCACCAUCUCCAUGCUAGCCAAGUUGUUGCAGCUCCCUCCGUCUAUGAUGACGCGCACAGAACGUUCCUUCACAACUCCCUUGGUAUGGAACAAAUUGUUCCUCUGAUUUUGCUCAGCUUGUGUGACCUGCACACUCAAAACACGUUGAGCAACUAAACAUUCAUACCUGUCAGCGUCUUCAGGAGACAUGUAUUGCGUCUCAUGAUCAGAAUCAUCUCCACCAUGUUCUUCACGUGUAAUAAGAGCCAAAGUCUCCUCAUCAUAGUCACUAGCGGACUCAUAUCCACCAUCCGCGGUAGCAAUCAUCACACGCGGAGAUUUGCAUUCUCUCGCAUAAUGACCUCCUCCCUUACAACGACGACAAAUAAUAUCACUUGUGUGCCCUGUUGAUGCCAUGGAAGAAGAAGAACGCUGUGCAGGCCCCGCAGGUGCGCUCUUGGCAGAUAAUGGUGGUUGUGCCUGUUUUCUUGUAUCACGGCUGGAGGUGGCACCGGAUGGAGGUGCUGGUGCAGUUGAAGUAGAAGAUGCACGUGGUGUCCAUGAUGAAGGUCGGCCUGCAGAAAAGUUAGUUCGCCCCAAUGCUUGUCGAUCCUGCACUUCACGUUCAGCUUUACAAGCAAGAUGGAAUAAACGAGUGAUAUUAGUAUACUCCUUAUAGUCUAGAAUGGUCUGAAUCUCUCUAUUUAAUUGAUGAGGACAUCAAUACAAUUGUUACACCCACAGCCCCUGCUGCUAUACAUACUGGACCAAUUACUAGAGCUCGUGCACGCCAACUAAAUUACCAGGUACUUUCGUUUCUUGGUAAUGAUUCUAAUGUUCAUGAGAAUAUGAUGCUGCCUAAAUUGGAUACAUUUGUUUUGCUUACAAAUGAAGGGCCUAGCUUGGAGAAGGAUGAACAUUGGAGCAAGAACAAGCAUGGAGAUGAUGGCAUGCGCAAGGGAAACAAGAACGGAGUUACAAGUGAUGAUUUCAGGACUUUGAAGCCACCAUAAUGGGUGCAUGAAGCCUUGGACGAAAUAUACAAGAUGCCACUUCAUAAAUUUCGUCCCGAGGCUAUUUUAGGUGUUGCGUCACCUUAUUAUUGGGCCAGGCCCAUGUAAUUUCGAAAUACAUAAGUAUAGGCUAUUUUUAGAGUCCGUAUGUGUGGGGAAACAAGAGAUAGGGUUGAUUUCGGACCCCUCCACCAAGGGCCACGAAAUUCCCCCCUCUUCCUCCAUAUAUACAGCCCUUAGGGCAUCGUUUAGACUUUGGGUUUUGUUUAGAUUAAAAGUUCGCCAUAGCUGCAACUUCGCGUACUUCGUUUGUGUUCCACGACCAGACAAAGGCGUCACAGAACCCCACCUUGAUCAAUAAAGCUUUCAUCUUAUAUUCGCAAUAUCCAGAUUGCAAUCUUAGUUUCUUGCUUGUUCUUCGUUUGCUCGCAGGAAACAGACCCUCGUGGUCAGGUUGAUCGUGCUCCGGCGUGGUCAAUAACCUCUCGGAGUUGGUUUAGCGAUUGCUAAGGCGCGACGUCCUCGCACGUUCGUAGUCGGAUCGUCAAAGUCGACUUCCACCAAAGCGAUAUCCAUCAUCUCAUCGAAAGACGGGACACCUUUGCCUCUAUCACACGUUGUUUAGCAUCAAAAUUAACCUUCUCCGAAGAUGGAAGAGGCAACAAAUCAAUAGGUGCACGAGGUAGGAAACCAUACACAACUUCAAAAGGGCACAUCUUAGUAGUAGAAUGCAAUGAACGAUUAUAAGCAAAUUCAAUAUGAGGCAAGCAUUCCUCCCACAUUUUCUUAUUAUUCUUCAAAACAGCCCUAAGCAUAGCAGACAACGUUCUAUUGACUACUUCAGUUUGUCCAUCAGUUUGGGGGUGACAAGUAGUACUAAAAAGCAGUUUAGUCCCCAACUUAGCCCAUAAACAUCUCCAAAAGUGGCUAAGAAAUUUAGUAUCACGAUCUGAAACAAUAGUAUUUGGCACACCAUGCAAGCGAAUAAUUUCACGAAAGAACAAAUCAGCAACAUUAACAGCAUCAUCGCUUUUAUGACAUGGUAUAAAGUGUGCCAUUUUCGAGAAUCUAUCCACGACAACAAAUAUGCUAUCCCUCCCCUUCUUUGUUUGAGGUAAACCUAAAACAAAGUCCAUAGAUAUAUCCUCCCAAGGAACACUAGGUACAGGCAAAGGCAUAUAUAAACCAUGAGGAUUGAGGCGUGACUUAGCUUUUUGACAUGUAGUGCAGCGAGCAAUAAAACGCUCAACAUCCCGUCUCAUCUUUGGCCAAAAGAAAUGUGUAGCAAGUACGUCCUCUGUCUUCUUCACGCCAAAGUGUCCCAUUAAUCCUCCUCCAUGCGCCUCCUGCAACAACAAAAGACGAACGGAGCUAGCUGGAAUGCAUAGCUUGUUAGCACGAAACACAAAUCCAUCGUUAACAACAAACUUGUUCCACAUUCUUCCUUCUUUACAAUUAUGCAUUACAUCUUUAAAAUCAGCAUCAUGCACAUAUUGAUCUUUGAUGGUCUCCAAACCAAAUAUUUUGAAGUCAAGUUGUGAAAGCAUAGUGUAGCGACGAGACAAAGCAUCAGCAAUAACAUUUUCUUUUCCCUUCUUGUGUUUAAUGACAUAAGGGAAAGUCUCGAUGAAUUCAACCCAUUUAGCAUGUCUACGAUUCAGUUUAGCUUGACUUUUAAUAUGUUUCAAUGAUUCAUGAUCAGAAUGUAUAACAAAUUCUUUGGGCCAUAAAUAAUGUUGCCAUGUUUCUAAAGUCCGAACAAGAGCAUAUAAUUCUUUAACAUAAGUAGAAUAAUUCAGACUAGGCCCACUCAAUUUUUCAGAAAAGUAUGCAACAGGUUUGCCAUCUUGUAAUAACACACCUCCUAAUCCAAUUCCACUAGCAUCACAUUCAAGCUCAAAAGUCUUAUUAAAAUCAGGAAGUUGGAGUAAAGGAGCAUGUGUCAACUUAUCUUUCAAUACCGUGAAGGCUUCUUCCUGUGCGGUACCCCAAAGAAAAGGCACAUCUUUCUUUGUAAGCUCAUUGAGAGGUGCAACAAUGGUGCUGAAAUCUCUCACAAAACGCCUAUAGAAUCCAGCGAGGCCAAGAAAACUCCUCACUUGUGUGACCGUUUUGGGCUGCGGCCAACUCUCAAUAGCUUCAAUCUUGGCUUUAUCAACUUCAAUUCCCUGUGGAGUAACAACAUAGCCAAGAAAAGAUACUCGGUCGAUGCAAAAGGUGCACUUCCCAAGGUUACCAAACAAACGUGCAUCACGUAGAGCAAUAAAAACAGCACGUAAAUGUUCCAAAUGUUCUUCUAAAGAUCUGCUAUAAAUCAAUAUGUCAUCAAAGUAAACUACCACAAAUCGUCCAAUGAAAGUACUAGGUGCAUUAGUUAACCCAAAAGGCAUGACUAACCACUCAUAUAAUCCAAACUUAGUUUUAAAUGCUGUUUUCCAUUCAUCUCCCAAUUUCAUACGAAUUUGAUGGUAGCCACUACGCAAAUCAACUUUGGAGAAUAUUGUAGAGCCACUCAAUUCAUCAAGCAUAUCAUCUAGCCUAGGAAUAGGAUGACGAUAACGAAUAGUAAUAUUAUUAAUGCCUCUACAAUCAACACACAUACGUGAUGUACCAUCCUUUUUCGGCACUAGAAUAAUAGGAACAGCACAAGGACUAAGGGAUUCGCGUAUAUAACCUUUGUCGAGAAGCUCUUGUACUUGACGCAUAAUCUCCUUCGUCUCCUCUGGAUUGGUACGGUAUGGUGCACGGUUUGGCAGUGAAGCACCGGGAAUUAAAUGUUAGUGACAGCAGGAGGCAAAGAGGAAGGCACGUCCUCGAAUGAAAAUAAUGCCUCUUUGCACACAAAAGCAUAGCAAACAGAUUUGCUGAAAUCUAGCUCAUCAAUAUCAGAUUUGGUGGCGAAUAAACAUGCACUUUUCAAUUUAAUUUCAGAAGCAACACUAGAUGGCUUAUUAUUAGGCUUCAUUUGUUGCUCAAAUUCUUUUGCCACAAUCUGAUUUUCACUCUUAUUCUUCUCCUGUUGUGCUUUAUUAGCUCUAUUAAUAUCAUCUUUCAAAAUGGAAUCAGGAGUCAUAGGAAGCAAAGUAAUAUUUUUAUCCUUAUGAACAAGAGUAUAGUGAUUGUUUCUACCAUGGUGUACAGAAUUUUUAUCAAAUUGCCAUGGUCUACCAAGUAAUAAGGAACAUGCUUGCAUAGGUACCACAUCACAAUCAACAUAAUCAGCAUAUGUAGAGAUACUAAAAUGCACACGAACAGUACGUGUUACCUUAACCUUGCCGCUGUUGUUGAACCAUUGGAUGUAGUAAGGAUGUGGAUGUGGUCUUGUGGUGAGAGAAAGCUUCUCCACCAUCUCCAUGCUAGCCAAGUUGUUGCAGCUCCCUCCGUCUAUUAUGACGCGCACAGAACGUUCCUUCACAACUCCCUUGGUAUGGAACAAAUUGAGCCUCUGAUUUUGCUCAGCUUGUGUGACCUGCACACUCAAAACACGUUGAGCAACUAAACAUUCAUACCUGUCAGCGUCUUCAGGAGCCAUGUAUUGCGUCUCAUGAUCAGAAUUAUCUCCACCAUGUUCUUCACGUGUAAUAAGAGCCAAUGUCUCCUCAUCAUAGUCACUAGCGGACUCAUAUCCACCAUCCGCAGUAGCAAUCAUCACACGCGGAGAUUUGCAUUCCCUCGCAUAAUGACCUCCGCCCUUACAACAACGACAAAUAAUAUCACUUGUGUGCCCUUUUGAUGCCAUGGAAGAAGAAGAACGCUGUGCAGGCCCCGCAGGUGCGCUCUUGGCAGAUAAUGGUGGUUGUGCCUGUUUUCUUGUAUCACGGCUGGAGGUGGCACCGGAUGGAGGUGCUGGUGCAGUUGAAGUAGAAGAUGCACGUGGUGUCCAUGAUGAAGAUCGGCCUGCAGAAAAGUUAGUUCGCCCCAAUGCUUGUCGAUCCUGCACUUCACGUUCAGCUUUACAAGCAAGAUGGAAUAAACGAGUGAUAUUAGUAUACUCCUUAUAGUCUAGAAUGGUUUGAAUCUCUCUAUUUAAUCCACCCAGAAAACGUGCAAGCAUAGCUUCAUUCUCCUCAACAAUACCACAUCUAAUCAUGCCAGUUUGUAAUUCCUGAUAAUAUUCUUCUACAGAAUUUUUCCCUUGUCUUAAACGCUGCAAUUUUUGAAGCAAUUCACGUUGAUAAUAUGGUGGAACCCAACGCGUACGCAUAGCAGUUUUCAAAGCAGCCCAAGUAGUUGGAAUAGGAUAUAAUCUACAAUGUUCAGCCCAAAGAUCUGCUAUAAAUCAAUAUGUCAUCAAAGUAAACUACCACAAAUCGUCCAAUGAAAGCACGUAAAACUUCGUUCGUUAAUCUCAUGAAAGUACUAGGUGCAUUAGUUAACCCAAAAGGCAUGACUAACCACUCAUAUAAUCCAAACUUAGUUUUGAAUGCUGUUUUCCAUUCAUCUCCCAAUUUCAUACGAAUUUGAUGGUAUCCACUACGCAAAUCAACUUUGGAGAAUAUUGUAGAGCCACUCAAUUCAUCAAGCAUAUCAUCUAGCCUAGGAAUAGGAUGACGAUAACGAAUAGUAAUAUUAUUAAUGCCUCUACAAUCAACACACAUACGUGAUGUACCAUCCUUUUUCGGCACUAAAAUAAUAGGAACAGCACAAGGACUAAGGGAUUCGCGUAUAUAACCUUUGUCGAGAAGCUCUUGUACUUGACGCAUAAUCUCCUUCGUCUCCUCUGGAUUGGUACGGUAUGGUGCACGGUUUGGCAGUGAAGCACCGGGAAUUAAGUCGAUCUGAUGCUCAAUCCCUCGAAUAGGCGGUAAUCCCGGUGGCACGUCUUGUGGAAAAACGUCAGCGAACUCCUGUAAAAUGUUAGUGACAGCAGGAGGCAAAGAGGAAGGCACGUCCUCGAAUGAAAAUAAUGCCUCUUUGCACACAAAAGCAUAGCAAACAGAUUUGCUGAAAUCUAGCUCAUCAAUAUCAGAUUUGGUGGCAAAUAAACAUGCACUUUUCAAUUUAAUUUCAGAAGCAACACUAGAUGGUUUAUUAUUAGGCUUCAUUUGUUGCUCAAAUUCUUUUGCCACAAUCUGAUUUUCACUCUUAUUCUUCUCCUGUUGUGCUUUAUUAGCUCUAUUAAUAUCAUCUUUCAAAAUGGAAUCAGGAGUCAUAGGAAGCAAAGUAAUAUUUUUAUCCUUAUGAACAAGAGUGUAGUGAUUGUUUCUACCAUGGUGUACAGAAUUUUUAUCAAAUUGCCAUGGUCUACCAAGUAAUAAGGAACAUGCUUGCAUAGGUACCACAUCACAAUCAACAUAAUCAGCAUAGGUAGAGAUACUAAAAUGCACACGAACAGUACGUGUUACCUUAACCUUGCCGCUGUUGUUGAACCAUUGGAUGUAGUAAGGAUGUGGAUGUGGUCUUGUGGUGAGAGAAAGCUUCUCCACCAUCUCCAUGCUAGCCAAGUUGUUGCAGCUCCCUCCGUCUAUGAUGACGCGCACAGAACGUUCCUUCACAACUCCCUUGGUAUGGAACAAAUUGUUCCUCUGAUUUUGCUCAGCUUGUGUGACCUGCACACUCAAAACACGUUGAGCAACUAAACAUUCAUACCUGUCAGCGUCUUCAGGAGACAUGUAUUGCGUCUCAUGAUCAGAAUCAUCUCCACCAUGUUCUUCACGUGUAAUAAGAGCCAAAGUCUCCUCAUCAUAGUCACUAGCGGACUCAUAUCCACCAUCCGCGGUAGCAAUCAUCACACGCGGAGAUUUGCAUUCUCUCGCAUAAUGACCUCCUCCCUUACAACGACGACAAAUAAUAUCACUUGUGUGCCCUGUUGAUGCCAUGGAAGAAGAAGAACGCUGUGCAGGCCCCGCAGGUGCGCUCUUGGCAGAUAAUGGUGGUUGUGCCUGUUUUCUUGUAUCACGGCUGGAGGUGGCACCGGAUGGAGGUGCUGGUGCAGUUGAAGUAGAAGAUGCACGUGGUGUCCAUGAUGAAGGUCGGUGAUGAGGACAUGACUACCUUGGAUAUGACCAAAAAUAUUGCAUAUAUGCAUAUUUGUCAGGUGAUUUCUAGUGCAAACUAUUCAAUAAUCUAUUUAUGUUAUCCAGAACAAAAAUACUUCACACACUUUUGUGUUUUGUCUAAUUGCAGGGUGUAUGGGACAUUUGUACAAUCCACAUAUGAAGAUAAGGAAGAAAGAGAUGUUUAUUUGCUGUCCAAAAAGUUCUCUCACGUCACUUUUGGCCCAAGAGAAGAUAGAGUCCAAGUCUCUCACGUUCUGGAUUCAGAUUCGGACUGCACAGACACACCUGACUCAAAACGGACACAAGUUUUUCAUACGGACUCCGAAUUGGGUGAUUCUUUUUUUGUUGGAAACUAGAUUUCGUGCACUUUCCAACCCAAUUGGAAUCACCUUCAAAUUCGUCCGGAGCGCUGAGUUGUGGACAAAACAAUCUGAUGCUGCAGCAGAAUCCGAGUCAAACUACAAGUCCAAAGGUGUUACAUCAUCUCCACUUGGGCCCAUUGGCCUUGUACGACCUAGAUUUAGUUUUAGGCUGCCUUGGGACGUCCUCCCACCUCCUUGGCCGCCACCCCUUGCUCCUAUAUAAGUAGAUCCAUCUAGUAGCUUUUCCUGGGGAUUUGUUUAGUUAAAAGUUAGCCAUUGCAACUUCGUGUACUUCGUUUGUGUCCAACGACCAGACCAAGACCGCUUACGGAUCCCCACCAUUAUCAAUACUUCAUAUAUAUUCGCAAUAUUCAGAUUGCUUUAUCAUAUUCUUGCUCGUUCUUCGAUUGCUUGCAGGAAUAGACCUUCGUGGUCAGGUUGAUCGUGCUCCAGCGUGGUCAAUAACCUCUCGGAGUUGGUUUAGCGAUUGCUAAGGCGCAACGUCGUGCACGUUUGUAGUCGGAUCGUCAAAGUCGUCUCCACGAAAUCGAUAGUUAUCAUCUCAUCGAAAGAUCGGGACACCCCGCCUCUAUCAGUCGGCCUGCAGAAAAGUUAGUUCGCCCCAAUGCUUGUCGAUCCUGCACUUCACGUUCAGCUUUACAAGCAAGAUGGAAUAAACGAGUGAUAUUAGUAUACUCCUUAUAGUCUAGAAUGGUCUGAAUCUCUCUAUUUAAUCCACCCAGAAAACGUGCAAGCAUAGCUUCAUUCUCCUCAACAAUACCACAUCUAAUCAUGCCAGUUUGUAAUUCCUGAUUAUAUUCUUCUACAGAAUUUUUCCCUUGUCUUAAACGCUGCAAUUUUUGAAGCAAUUCACGUUGAUAAUAUGGUGGAACCCAACGCGUACGCAUAGCAGUUUUCAAAGCAGCCCAAGUAGUUGGAAUAGGAUAUAAUCUACAAUGUUCAGACCACCAUACACAUGCAAAACUAGUGAAAGCACAAACGGCAGCAGCAACUUGUCUCUCCUCAGGAUAUUGUAAACAUGUAAAUCGUUGUUCAGUUUCUAACUCCCAAGUAAGAUAUAUAUCAGGAACAUAUCUACCCUCAAAUGGUGGAAUAUUCAAUUUCAGUUUAGGAAUAUGGACAUCAUCUCGUACCUGAGGUGGUGGUGCAGGCCUACCAUUACGAAUAUAUACCUGAGGUCGACCUGCUGGUGGUGGUACAGGUGGCUGCACGUAGUGUUGAUUUUGAUCAACCUCAUCCUCAUAAUCUCCCACAUAAUCAUCCUCCUCCGCAUCAGCAGCAGGAGCCACAGAAGUAUUAACAGCAGCACCAACAGUUUGGCCAAACGCAAGAGGAACACGGCUUGCUCGGCGGAGGUCUGCUUCGCGACGUGGAGGUAGUCGUUGUUGUUGUUGUUGGAGAGGUGCGUUAGCUGCAGCGGGUGGUGGUGGUGGAAGACGCACGAGCAAUUCAUUAAACUUGUUAUCGAGCUUUGUUUCGAACGUCUUCUCAAAGCCAGUGAUCUUCUCCAUGGCCUCUUCAAAAUUGUUCAGCACAUCUUGCACCUGUUCAGUCAUCAUUUGCUGAAACUUAUUAUGAAGCUCCUUGUUCGAUAAAUUCUCCCAGUCAAUCUCGUCGGCUUGUGAUCCUGGCAUGGUUAGCAGCAAUAGAAACACACAAGAAUAUGAUCCUACAGACUACGAACAAGUGGUGGUGGUGGGUGUCACAAAUCCGUCAAGCAAAUCUCAAAUUCUUACUAGUUCUUACCCAGCAGCAGGCGGUGAUCGGCAACCGUUGUAGUCAAAAACUCUCAAAGCAUGGAUAGAGAGAUUACCAGGGAGAGUCAAACGCACGACGUAGAUGUAUGUGGAGCUGGGAAGGCUUAUAAUAUGGUAGCAAAAAGGGUCAGCAAUAAUCAAUUCAGAGAUGCAAAGUUGAAUAAACGCUCAACGACGGUACUGUGCUGGUCCUAGGCUAGACUGUGCUAGAGACGCGAGCCUAGAACACUAACAAAAUCACGGCGCGGCACGUAAACAAGGGAAAAGCACACUCUGGAAUUUUUUUUUCGCUCUUUUUUUUUCGCUCUUUUUUUUGCGCUGCUUUUUUUUGCGAAAAAUCACUAUAAUGGCGAGUGUCUCAAAACUCUUCUUAGCUCAAACUGACAGGAUGGGCACGAAAUUUUUUUGACCAAUUUUUUUUUUUUGACUGCCCGGACCCAAAAACUGGAAACGGGUCAAAAAAACUUCCUAUAAUGGCACCUGUCUCAAAACACUCAGAAACACCUAAAAAUAGGAUAGCCAGAAAUUUUUUCGAAAAAUGCGUUUUCGAAAAAUUUUGGGCCUAAACGGAGCGUGGCUACCCGACUCUCUUUUUUUUUUUCCGAAACCUACUCCGGCAAGGAAACACGAAUCGGAAUCUAGAUGGAUCUCGAAAACAAGCCUAAUAUGACAAGAACUCGGAUUGGUGGUGGAUAUAUGGUGGUAGAUGGCAGCGGUGGUGGUAUAUGACAGCUGUGGUGGUAUAUGGAUACGGAUUCGAAGCGGUGGCGGAUAAGCGGUGGUGGUAGAUGGCAGGGGUGAUGAUGAUGGUGCGGCGGCGGCGUGACAACUUAUGACCAGAACUCGAAACUCUAAAACACUAGACUCUAAGACCAGCAACUAGACCCGACGAUGCAACCGCAAAUUCAACAAAGCAAAACCCUAAAAAGAUUAUGCAAAGGCUCAGAUUGGUUCGGAUAUGAUGAACUAACCCUAAUUUUUUUGUGGCUUUUUCGUGGACUGUAGGUAUGAAGAACAGACUCGAUCUAAACUACGAAAAACUGUAAAAUCUCACCGAGCAACCUGGAAAUCUGAUACCACUUGAUAGAGGCAAAGGUGUCCCGUCUUUCGAUGAGAUGAUGGAUAUCGCUUUGGUGGAAGUCGACUUUGACGAUCCGACUACGAACGUGCGAGGACGUCGCGCCUUAGCAAUCGCUAAACCAACUCCGAGAGGUUAUUGACCACGCCGGAGCACGAUCAACCUGACCACGAGGGUCUGUUUCCUGCGAGCAAACGAAGAACAAGCAAGAAACUAAGAUUGCAAUCUGGAUAUUGCGAAUAUAAGAUGAAAGCUUUAUUGAUCAAGGUGGGGUUCUGUGAUGCCUUUGUCUGGUCGUUGAACACAAACGAAGUACGCGAAGUUGAAGCUAUGGCGAACUUUUAAUCUAAACAAAACCCAAAGUCUAAACGAUGCCCUAAGGGCUGUAUAUAUGGAGGAAGAGGGGGCGAAUUUCGUGGCCCUUGGUGGAGGGGUCCGAAAUCAACCCUAUCUCUUGUUUCCCCACACAUACAGACUCUAAAAAUAGCCUAUACUUAUGUAUUUCGAAAUUACAUGGGCCUGGCCCAAUAAUAAGGUGACGCAGCACCUAUAAUAGACUCGGGACGAAAUUUAUGAAGUGGCAUCUUGUAUAUUUCGUCCAAGGCUUCAUGCACCCAUUAUGGUGGCUUCAAAGUCCUGAAAUCAUCACUUGUAACUCCGUUCUUGUUUCCCUUGCGCAUGCCAUCACCUCCAUGCUUGUUCUUGCUCCAAUGUUCAUCCUUCUCCAAGCUAGGCCCUUCAUUUGUAAGCAAAACAAAUGUAUCCAAUUUAGGCAGCAUCAUAUUCUCAUGAACAUUAGAAUCAUUACCAAGAAACGAAAGUACCUGGUAAUUUAGUUGGCGUGCACGAGCUCUAGUAAUUGGUCCAGUAUGUAUAGCAGCAGGGGCUGUGGGUGUAACAAUUGUAUUGAUGUCCUCAUCAGUUAUCCGGGCGUCCGGGGGGGCGUCCAGCUGAUCCGGGGGAUGUCCGGAUGAUCCGGGAGAAGGUCCGGAUGAUCCGGGCAAGUCAAUCCGCUCGGGAUUUGCUCGUGGAGACGAAUUUUUGGGCGGAAUUUGGGGAUUUUAGGGUCAAAUUGACGAGAUUUCGUGGAUGGAAGGUGGGGAAACUUGGGAAAAUGCUAGAUCCACUUGAAACCAAGCAAAUCCAUGGAUCAAAAUCAACAAAACAUCAUCAAACCAACAAAUCACAAAAAAAAUUUGGGGCUAUUUUUGGUGGGGAUUUUCGGAUUUAGGACGAAAACAACAAAAUCAAGCUAGAAAACACGGGGUAGGGCUCCAAAACGUGAUCAACGUGGCUCAUGAUACCAAGAUGAUGUAGGGCGGAACCCUAUAGCGUCGAUCUUUCACCUUUGGAGGGGAUCCUACGAGGAGACACAAAGAACGAGCGGAAGAACACGAGGAAAUCACGGGGAGGAACGAGGGAAAACACUCAACCAACAAGGAAUCGGUCACACAAAUGCUAGAUCGAAGAACACAAAGAGAUACACGAGAUCCAAAGUCAACAAAGGUAAGGAUACAAAGGUAACCGAUCUUCUCCAAGAGGAGGCCUUGAUGUUCUUCCCUAAAGAGGGGUCUUGAAUCCCCUUGGGGAUCUUCUCCGGAGAGGUCCUGAUCUCCGAGGAGAAGUAUCCAAGUGGAGGAGCAAUGGCUCUCACACAAACAUGAGCUAAUCCAAUGCUAAGUCUCAAAGUGGGGAGGAGGAGGUCUAUUUAUAGUGCUAAGCCACGAAGGGGUAAGUGAGGGGCGAAGGGGUACAUGGGCUUCGGCCCAAGUCAUGCACGCAGGCGGGGUCCAGAUGAUCCGGAUGGUGGCCCCGAUGAUCCGGGUGUCGGGGGUCCGGAUGAUCCGGGUGACCGUCCGGAUGAUCCGGCUUCGUCGAGCAGCUUCUAUUGUCUUCGGGCACUGUUACCCGGACGAUCCGGGGGAGGGUCCGGAUGAUCCGGCUGGGCCCGGAUGAUCCGGACGGUGGUCCGGACGUCCGGCCUGGCUCCAGCAGCCGCUCCAUCUUCUUCUUCCUUCUUUCUUCCGUCUUCUCUUCCAUGCUUGGCCUUGGUCCUUGGAUUCUCCAUGGUCAUCUUGGUUGUACCUGUGUGUAUGCAAGGUCCAUGCAUGAGGUAGUAGCCGUGUCUCAAAUGCGGAAAGUGACGGUUCGAAGAGGAGUGAAUUUGAUAGAGGCAAAGGUGUCCCGUCUUUCGAUGAGAUGGUGGAUUUCGCUUUGGUGGAAGUCGACUUUGACGAUCCGACUACGAACGUGCGAGGACGUCGCGCCUUAGCAAUCGCUAAACCAACUCCGAGAGGUUAUUGACCACGCCGCAGCACGAUCAACCUGACCACGAGGGUCUGUUUCCUGCGAGCAAACGAAGAACAAGCAAGAAACUAAGAUUGCAAUCUGGAUAUUGCGAAUAUAAGAUGAAAGCUUUAUUGAUCAAGGUGGGGUUCUGUGACGCCUUUGUCUGGUCGUUGAACACAAACGAAGUACGCGAAGUUGCAGCUAUGGCGAACUUUUAAUCUAAACAAAACCCAAAGUCUAAACGAUGCCCUAAGGGCUGUAUAUAUGGAGGAAGAGGGGGGGAAUUUCGUGGCCCUUGGUGGAGGGGUCCGAAAUCAACCCUAUCUCUUGUUUCCCCACACAUACUGACUCUAAAAAUAGCCUAUACUUAUGUAUUUCGAAAUUACAUGGGCCUGGCCCAAUAAUAAGGUGACGCAGCACCUAAAAUAGCCUCGGGACGAAAUUUAUGAAGUGGCAUCUUGUAUAUUUCGUCCAAGGCUUCAUGCACCCAUUAUGGUGGCUUCAAAGUCCUGAAAUCAUCACUUGUAACUCCGUUCUUGUUCCCCUUGCGCAUGCCAUCAUCUCCAUGCUUGUUCUUGCUCCAAUGUUCAUCCUUCUCCAAGCUAGGCCCUUCAUUUGUAAGCAAAACAAAUGUAUCCAAUUUAGGCAGCAUCAUAUUCUCAUGAACAUUAGAAUCAUUACCAAGAAACGAAAGUACCUGGUAAUUUAGUUGGCGUGCACGAGCUCUAGUAAUUGGUCCAGUAUGUAUAGCAGCAGGGGCUAUGGGUGUAACAAUUGUAUUGAUGUCCUCAUCAAGAUAUGUUCCUGAUAUAUAUCUUACUUGGGAGUUAGAAACUGAACAACGAUUUACAUGUUUACAAUAUCCUGAGGAGAGACGAGUUGCUGCUGCUGUUUGUGCUUUCACUAGUUUUGCAUGUGUAUGGUGGUCUGAACAUUGUAGAUUAUAUCCUAUUCCAACUACUUGGGCUGCUUUGAAAACUGCUAUGCGUACGCGUUGGGUUCCACCAUAUUAUCAACGUGAAUUGCUUCAAAAAUUGCAGCGUUUAAGACAAGGGAAAAAUUCUGUAGAAGAAUAUUAUCAGGAAUUACAAACUGGCAUGAUUAGAUGUGGUAUUGUUGAGGAGAAUGAAGCUAUGCUUGCACGUUUUCUGGGUGGAUUAAAUAGAGAGAUUCAGACCAUUCUAGACUAUAAGGAGUAUACUAAUAUCACUCGUUUAUUCCAUCUUGCUUGUAAAGCUGAACGUGAAGUGCAGGAUCGACAAGCAUUGGGGCGAACUAACUUUUCUGCAGGCCGACCUUCAUCAUGGACACCACGAGCAUCUUCUACUUCAACUGCACCAGCACCUCCAUCCGGUGCCACCUCCAGCCGUGAUACAAGAAAACAGGCACAACCACCAUUAUGUGCCAGGAGCGCACCUGCGGGGCCUGCACAGCGUUCUUCUUCUUCCAUGGCAUCAACAGGGCACACCAGUGAUAUUAUUUGUCGUCGUUGUAAGGGAGGAGGUCAUUAUGCGAGGGAAUGCAAAUCUCCGCGUGUGAUGAUUGCUACCGCGGAUGGUGGAUAUGAGUCCGCUAGUGACUAUGAUGAGGAGACAUUGGCUCUUAUUACACGUGAAGAACAUGGUGGAGAUGAUUCCGAUCAUGAGACGCAAUACAUGGCUCCUGAAGACGCUGACAGGUAUGAAUGUUUAGUUGCUCAACGUGUUUUGAGUGUGCAGGUCACACAAGCUGAGCAAAAUCAGAGGAACAAUUUGUUCCAUACCAAGGGAGUUGUGAAGGAACGUUCUGUGCGCGUCAUAAUAGACGGAGGGAGCUGCAACAACUUGGCUAGCAUGGAGAUGGUGGAGAAGCUUUCUCUCACCACAAGACCACAUCCACAUCCUUACUACAUCCAAUGGUUCAACAACAGCGGCAAGGUUAAGGUAACACGUACUGUUCGUGUGCAUUUUAGUAUCUCUACAUAUGCUGAUUAUGUUGAUUGUGAUGUGGUACCUAUGCAAGCAUGUUCCUUAUUACUUGGUAGACCUUGGCAAUUUGAUAAAAAUUCUGUACACCAUGGUAGAAACAAUCACUAUACUCUUGUUCAUAAGGAUAAAAAUAUUACUUUGCUUCCUAUGACUCCUAAUUCCAUUUUGAAAGAUGAUAUUAAUAGAGCUAAUAAAGCAAAACAGGAGACGAAUAAGAGUGAAAAUCAGAUUGUGGCAAAAGAAUUUGAGCAACAAAUGAAGCCUAAUAAUAAACCAUCUAGUGUUGCUUCUGAAAUUAAAUUGAAAAGUGCAUGUUUAUUUGCCACCAAAUCUGAUAUUGAUGAGCUAGAUUUCAGCAAAUCUGUUUGCUAUGCUUUUGUGUGCAAAGAGGCAUUAUUUUCAUUCGAGGACGUGCCUUCCUCUUUGCCUCCUGCUGUCACUAACAUUUUGCAGGAGUUCGCUGACGUCUUUCCACAAGACGUGCCACCGGGAUUACCGCCUAUUCGAGGGAUUGAGCAUCAAAUUGACUUAAUUCCCGGUGCUUCACUGCCAAACCGUGCACCAUACCGUACCAAUCCAGAGGAGACGAAGGAGAUUAUGCGUCAAGUACUACUUGAUAGAGACGAGGGUCCCGAUCUUUCGAUGAGAUGAUAACUAUCGAUUUGAUGGAGACGACUUUCACGAUCCGACUACAAAUGUGCACGACGUUGCACCUUAGCAAUCGCUAAACCGAUCUCCUGAGGUUACUGACGAUGCUGGAAGCACGGUCAGCCUGACCACGAAGGUCUAUUCCUGCAAGCAAUCGAAGAACGAGCAAGAAUAUGAUAAAGCAAUCUGAAUAUUGCAAAUAUAUAUGAAGUAUUGAUAAUGGUGGGGAUCCGGAAGCGGUCUUGGUCUGGUCGUUGGACACAAACGAAGUACACGAAGUUGCAAUGGCUAACUUUUAACUAAACAAAUCCCAAAGUCUAAACGAUGCCCUAAGGGCUGUAUAUAUGGAGGAAGAGGGGGGGAAUUUCGUGGCCCUUGGUGGAGGAGUCCGAAAUCAACCCUAUCUCUUGUUUCCCCACACAUACGGACUCUAAAAAUAGCCUAUACUUAUGUAUUUCGAAAUUACAUGGGCCUGGCCCAAUAAUAAGGUGACGCAGCACCUAAAAUAGCCUCGGGACGAAAUUUAUGAAGUGGCAUCUUGUAUAUUUCGUCCAAGGCUUCAUGCACCCAUUAUGGUGGCUUCAAAGUCCUGAAAUCAUCACUUGUAACUCCGUUCUUGUUCCCCUUGCGCAUGCCAUCAUCUCCGUGCUUGUUCUUGCUCCAAUGUUCAUCCUUCUCCAAGCUAGGCCCUUCAUUUGUAAGCAAAACAAAUGUAUCCAAUUUAGGCAGCAUCAUAUUCUCAUGAACAUUAGAAUCAUUACCAAGAAACGAAAGUACCUGGUAAUUUAGUUGGCGUGCACGAGCUCUAGUAAUUGGUCCAGUAUGUAUAGCAGCAGGGGCUGUGGGUGUAACAAUUGUAUUGAUGUCCUCAUCACAAAGUGUCCCAUUAAUCCUCCUCCAUGCGCCUCCUGCAACAACAAAAGACGAACGGAGCUAGCUGGAAUGCAUAGCUUGUUAGCACGAAACACAAAUCCAUCAUUAACGACAAACUUGUUCCACAUUCUUCCUUCUUUGCAAUUCUGCAUUACAUCUUUAAAAUCAGCAUCAUGCACAUAUUGAUCUUUGAUGGUCUCCAAACCAAAUAUUUUGAAGUCAAGUUGUGAAAGCAUAGUAUAGCGACGAGACAAUGCAUCAGCAAUAACAUUUUCUUUUCCCUUCUUGUGUUUAAUGACAUAAGGGAAAGUCUCAAUGAAUUCAACCCAUUUAGCAUGUCUAAGAUUCAGUUUAGCUUGACUUUUAAUAUGUUUCAAAGAUUCAUGAUCAGAAUGUAUAACAAAUUCUUUGGGCCAUAAAUAAUGUUGCCAUGUUUCUAAAGUCCGAACAAGAGCAUAUAAUUCUUUAUCAUAAGUAGAAUAAUUCAGACUAGGCCCACUCAAUUUUUCAGAAAAGUAUGCAACAGGUUUGCCAUCUUGUAAUAACACACCUCCUAAUCCAAUUCCACUAGCAUCACAUUCAAGCUCAAAAGUCUUAGUAAAAUCAGGAAGUUGGAGUAAAGGAGCAUGUGUCAACUUAUCUUUCAAUACCGUGAAGGCUUCUUCCUGUGCGGUACCCCAAACAAAAGGCACAUCCUUCUUUGUAAGCUCGUUGAGAGGUGCAGCAAUGGUGCUGAAAUCUCUCACAAAACGCCUAUAGAAUCCAGCGAGGCCAAGAAAACUCCUCACUUGUGUGACCGUUUUGGGCUGCGGCCAACUCUCAAUAGCUUCAAUCUUGGCUUUGUCAACUUCAAUUCCCUGUGGAGUAACAACAUAGCCAAGAAAAGAUACUCGGUCGGUGCAAAAGGUGCACUUCCCAAGGUUACCAAACAAACGUGCAUCACGUAGAGCAAUAAAAACAGCACGUAAAUGUUCCAAAUGUUCUUCCAAAGGUCUGCUAUAAAUCAGUAUAUCAUCAAAAUAGACUACCACAAAUCUUCCAAUGAAAGCACGUAAAACUUCGUUCAUUAGUCUCAUGAAAGUACUAGGCGCAUUAGUUAACCCAAAAGGCAUGACUAACCACUCAUAUAAUCCAAACUUAGUUUUAAAUGCUGUUUUCCAUUCAUCUCCCAAUUUCAUACGAAUUUGAUGGUAUCCACUACGCAAAUCAACUUUGGAGAAUAUUGUAGAGCCACUCAAUUCAUCAAGCAUAUCAUCUAGCCUAGGAAUAGGAUGACGAUAACGAAUAGUAAUAUUAUUAAUGCCUCUACAAUCAACACACAUACGUGAUGUACCAUCCUUUUUCGGCACUAGAAUAAUAGGAACAGCACAAGGACUAAGGGAUUCGCGUAUAUAACCUUUGUCGAGAAGCUCUUGUACUUGACGCAUAAUCUCCUUUGUCUCCUCUGGAUUGGUACGGUAUGGUGCACGGUUUGGCAGUGAAGCACCGGGAAUUAAGUCGAUCUGAUGCUCAAUCCCUCGAAUAGGCGGUAAUCCCGGUGGCACGUCUUGUGGAAAAACGUCAGCGAACUCCUGCAAAAUGUUAGUGACAGCAGGAGGCAAAGAGGAAGGCACGUCCUCGAAUUAAAAUAAUGCCUCUUUGCACACAAAAGCAUAGCAAACAGAUUUGCUGAAAUCUAGCUCAUCAAUAUCAGAUUUGGUGGCAAAUAAACAUGCACUUUUCAAUUUAAUUUCAGAAGCAACACUAGAUGGUUUAUUAUUAGGCUUCAUUUGUUGCUCAAAUUCUUUUGCCACAAUCUGAUUUUCACUCUUAUUCUUCUCCUGUUGUGCUUUAUUAGCUCUAUUAAUAUCAUCUUUCAAAAUGGAAUCAGGAGUCAUAGGAAGCAAAGUAAUAUUUUUAUCCUUAUGAACAAGAGUAUAGUGAUUGUUUCUACCAUGGUGUACAGAAUUUUUAUCAAAUUGCCAUGGUCUACCAAGUAAUAAGGAACAUGCUUGCAUAGGUACCACAUCACAAUCAACAUAAUCAGCAUAUGUAGAGAUACUAAAAUGCACACGAACAGUACGUGUUACCUUAACCUUGCCGCUGUUGUUGAACCAUUGGAUGUAGUAAGGAUGUGGAUGUGGUCUUGUGGUGAGAGAAAGCUUCUCCACCAUCUCCAUGCUAGCUAAGUUGUUGCAGCUCCCUCCGUCUAUUAUGACGCGCACAGAACGUUCCUUCACAACUCCCUUGGUAUGGAACAAAUUGUGCCUCUGAUUUUGCUCAGCUUGUGUGACCUGCACACUCAAAACACGUUGAGCAACUAAACAUUCAUACCUGUCAGCGUCUUCAGGAGCCAUGUAUUGCGUCUCAUGAUCAGAAUCAUCUCCACCAUGUUCUUCACGUGUAAUAAGAGCCAAUGUCUCCUCAUCAUAGUCACUAGCGGACGCAUAUCCACCAUCCGCGGUAGCAAUCAUCACACGCGGAGAUUUGCAUUCCCUCGCAUAAUGACCUCCUCCCUUACAACGACGACAAAUAAUAUCACUUGUGUGCCCUGUUGAUGCCAUGGAAGAAGAAGAACGCUGUGCAGGACCCGCAGGUGCGCUCUUGGAAGAUAAUGGUGGUUGUGCCUGUUUUCUUGUAUCACGGCUGGAGCUGGCACCGGAUGGAGGUGCUGGUGCAGUUGAAGUAGAAGAUGCACGUGGUGUCCAUGAUGAAGGUCGGCCUGCAGAAAAGUUAGUUCGCCCCAAUGCUUGCCGAUCCUGCACUUCACGUUCAGCUUUACAAGCAAGAUGGAAUAAACGAGUGAUAUUAGUAUACUCCUUAUAGUCUAGAAUGGUCUGAAUCUCUCUAUUUAAUCCACCCAGAAAACGUGCAAGCAUAGCUUCAUUCUCCUCAACAAUACCACAUCUAAUCAUGCCAAUUUGUAAUUCCUGAUAAUAUUCUUCUACAGAAUUUUUCCCUUGUCUUAAACGCUGCAAUUUUUGAAGCAAUUCACGUUGAUAAUAUGGUGGAACCCAACGCGUACGCAUAGCAGUUUUCAAAGCAGCCCAAGUAGUUGGAAUAGGAUAUAAUCUACAAUGUUCAGACCACCAUACACAUGCAAAACUAGUGAAAGCACAAACAGCAGCAGCAACUCGUCUCUCCUCAGGAUAUUGUAAACAUGUAAAUCGUUGUUCAGUUUCUAACUCCCAAGUAAGAUAUAUAUCAGGAACAUAUCUACCCUCAAAUGGUGGAAUAUUCAAUUUCAGUUUAGGAAUAUGGACAUCAUCGCGUACCUGAGGUGGUGGUGCAGGCCUACCAUUACGAAUAUAUACCUGAGGUCGACCUGCUGGUGGUGGUACAGGUGGCUGCACGUAGUGUUGAUUUUGAUCAACCUCAUCCUCAUAGUCUCCCACAUAAUCAUCCUCCUCCACAUCAGCAGCAGGAGCCACAGAAGUAUCAACAGCAGCACCAACAGUUUGGCCAAACGCAAGAGGAACACGGCUUGCUCGGCGGAGGUCUGCUUCGCGACGUGGAGGUAGUCGUUGUUGUUGUUGUUGUUGGAGAGGUGCGUUAGCUGCAGCGGGUGGUGGUGGUGGAAGACGCGCGAGCAAUUCAUUAAACUUGUUAUCGAGCUUUGUUUCGAACGUCUUCUCAAAGCCAGUGAUCUUCUCCAUGGCCUCUUCAAAAUUGUUCAGCACAUCUUGCACCUGUUCAGUCAUCAUUUGCUGAAACUUAUCAUGAAGCUCCUUGUUCGAUAAAUUCUCCCAGUCAAUCUCGUCGGCUUGUGAUCCUGGCAUGGUUAGCAGCUAUAGAAACACACAAGAAUAUGAUCCUACAGACUACGAACAAGUGGUGGUGGUGGGUGUCACAAAUCCGUCAAGCAAAUCUCAAAUUCUUACCAGUUCUUACCCAGCAGCAGGCGGUGAUCGGCAACCGUUGUAGUCAAAAACUCUCAAAGCUUGGAUAGAGCGAUUACCAGGGAGAGUCAAACGCACGACGUAGAUGUAUGUGGAGCUGGGAAGGCUUAUAAUAUGGUAGCAAAAAGGGUCAGCAAUAAUCAAUUCAGAGAUGCAAAGUUGAAUAAACGCUCAACGACGGUACUGUGCUGGUCCUAGGCUAGACUGUGCUAGAGACGCGAGCCUAGAACACUAACAAAAUCACGGCGCGGCACGUAAACAAGGGAAAAGCACACUCUGGAACUUUUUUUUUUUCGUUCUUUUUUUUUUUGCGCUCUUUUNNNNNNNNNNNNNNNNNNNNNNNNNNNNNNNNNNNNNNNNNNNNNNNNNNNNNNNNNNNNNNNNNNNNNNNNNNNNNNNNNNNNNNNNNNNNNNNNNNNNNNNNNNNNNNAGACGCGAGCCUAGAACACUAACAAAAUCACGGCGCGGCACGUAAACAAGGGAAAAGCACACUCUGGAAAUUUUUUUUUGCGCUCUUUUUUUUUUGCGCUGCUUUUUUUUUUUUUUGCGAAAAAUCACUAUAAUGGCGAGUGUCUCAAAACUCUUCUUAGCUCAAACUGACAGGAUGGGCACGAAAUUUUUUUGACCAAUUUUUUUUUUUUUGACUGCCCGGACCCAAAAACUGGAAACGGGUCAAAAAAAACUUCCUAUAAUGGCACCUGUCUCAAAACACUCAGAAACACCUAAAAAUAGGAUAGCCAGAAAUUUUUUCGAAAAAUGCGUUUUCGAAAAAUUUUGGGCCUAAACGGAGCGUGGCUACCCGACUCCGGCAAGGAAACACGAAUCGGAAUCUAGANNNNNNNNNNGGGCACGAAAUUUUUUUGACCAAUUUUUUUUUUUUUGACUGUCCGGACCCAAAAACUGGAAACGGGUCAAAAAAAACUUCCUAUAAUGGCACCUGUCUCAAAACACUCAGAAACACUUAAAAAUAGGAUAGCCAGAAAAUUUUUCGAAAAAUGCGUUUUCGAAAAAUUUUGGGCCUAAACGGAGCGUGGCUACCCGACUCUUUUUUUUUUUUUUUUUUCCGAAACCUACUCCGGCAAGGAAACACGAAUCGGAAUCUAGAUGGAUCUCGAAAACAAACCUAAUAUGCAAAAUUACUAGAAAGACCAGAACUCGAAACUCCCAAGGAACUAAAUUACCAGGUACACUAGGAACACUAGGUACAAUUCUAUGACAGCGGUGGUGGUAUAUGACAGCUGUGGUGGUAUAUGGAUACGGAUUCGAAGCGGUGGCGGAUAAGCGGUGGUGGUAGAUGGCAGGGGUGAUGAAAAACCUACUCCGGCGGCGUGACAACUUAUGACCAGAACUCGAAACUCUAAAAGACUAGACUCUAAGACCAGCAACUAGACACGACGAUGCAACCGCAAAUUCAACAAAGCAAAACCCUAAAAAGAUUAUGCAAAGGCUCAGAUUGGUUCGGAUAUGAUGAACUAACCCUAAUUUUUUUUUGUGGCUUUUUCGUGGACUGUAGGUAUGAAGAACAGACUCGAUCUAAACUACGAAAAACAGUAAAAUCUCACCGAGCAACCUGGAAAUCUGAUACCACUUGAUAGAGGCAAAGGUGUCCCGUCUUUCGAUGAGAUGGUGGAUUUCGCUUUGGUGGAAGUCGACUUUGACGAUCCGACUACGAACGUGCGAGGACGUCGCGCCUUAGCAAUCGCUAAACCAACUCCGAGAGGUUAUUGACCACGCCGCAGCACGAUCAACCUGACCACGAGGGUCUGUUUCCUGCGAGCAAACGAAGAACAAGCAAGAAACUAAGAUUGCAAUCUGGAUAUUGCGAAUAUAAGAUGAAAGCUUUAUUGAUCAAGGUGGGGUUCUGUGACGCCUUUGUCUGGUCGUUGAACACAAACGAAGUACGCGAAGUUGCAGCUAUGGCGAACUUUUAAUCUAAACAAAACCCAAAGUCUAAACGAUGCCCUAAGGGCUGUAUAUAUGGAGGAAGAGGGGGGGAAUUUCGUGGCCCUUGGUGGAGGGGUCCGAAAUCAACCCUAUCUCUUGUUUCCCCACACAUACUGACUCUAAAAAUAGCCUAUACUUAUGUAUUUCGAAAUUACAUGGGCCUGGCCCAAUAAUAAGGUGACGCAGCACCUAAAAUAGCCUCGGGACGAAAUUUAUGAAGUGGCAUCUUGUAUAUUUCGUCCAAGGCUUCAUGCACCCAUUAUGGUGGCUUCAAAGUCCUGAAAUCAUCACUUGUAACUCCGUUCUUGUUCCCCUUGCGCAUGCCAUCAUCUCCAUGCUUGUUCUUGCUCCAAUGUUCAUCCUUCUCCAAGCUAGGCCCUUCAUUUGUAAGCAAAACAAAUGUAUCCAAUUUAGGCAGCAUCAUAUUCUCAUGAACAUUAGAAUCAUUACCAAGAAACGAAAGUACCUGGUAAUUUAGUUGGCGUGCACGAGCUCUAGUAAUUGGUCCAGUAUGUAUAGCAGCAGGGGCUAUGGGUGUAACAAUUGUAUUGAUGUCCUCAUCAAGAUAUGUUCCUGAUAUAUAUCUUACUUGGGAGUUAGAAACUGAACAACGAUUUACAUGUUUACAAUAUCCUGAGGAGAGACGAGUUGCUGCUGCUGUUUGUGCUUUCACUAGUUUUGCAUGUGUAUGGUGGUCUGAACAUUGUAGAUUAUAUCCUAUUCCAACUACUUGGGCUGCUUUGAAAACUGCUAUGCGUACGCGUUGGGUUCCACCAUAUUAUCAACGUGAAUUGCUUCAAAAAUUGCAGCGUUUAAGACAAGGGAAAAAUUCUGUAGAAGAAUAUUAUCAGGAAUUACAAACUGGCAUGAUUAGAUGUGGUAUUGUUGAGGAGAAUGAAGCUAUGCUUGCACGUUUUCUGGGUGGAUUAAAUAGAGAGAUUCAGACCAUUCUAGACUAUAAGGAGUAUACUAAUAUCACUCGUUUAUUCCAUCUUGCUUGUAAAGCUGAACGUGAAGUGCAGGAUCGACAAGCAUUGGGGCGAACUAACUUUUCUGCAGGCCGACCUUCAUCAUGGACACCACGAGCAUCUUCUACUUCAACUGCACCAGCACCUCCAUCCGGUGCCACCUCCAGCCGUGAUACAAGAAAACAGGCACAACCACCAUUAUCUGCCAGGAGCGCACCUGCGGGGCCUGCACAGCGUUCUUCUUCUUCCAUGGCAUCAACAGGGCACACCAGUGAUAUUAUUUGUCGUCGUUGUAAGGGAGGAGGUCAUUAUGCGAGGGAAUGCAAAUCUCCGCGUGUGAUGAUUGCUACCGCGGAUGGUGGAUAUGAGUCCGCUAGUGACUAUGAUGAGGAGACAUUGGCUCUUAUUACACGUGAAGAACAUGGUGGAGAUGAUUCUGAUCAUGAGACGCAAUACAUGGCUCCUGAAGACGCUGACAGGUAUGAAUGUUUAGUUGCUCAACGUGUUUUGAGUGUGCAGGUCACACAAGCUGAGCAAAAUCAGAGGCACAAUUUGCUCCAUACCAAGGGAGUUGUGAAGGAACGUUCUGUGCGCGUCAUAAUAGACGGAGGGAGCUGCAACAACUUGGCUAGCAUGGAGAUGGUGGAGAAGCUUUCUCUCACCACAAGACCACAUCCACAUCCUUACUACAUCCAAUGGUUCAACAACAGCGGCAAGGUUAAGGUAACACGUACUGUUCGUGUGCAUUUUAGUAUCUCUACAUAUGCUGAUUAUGUUGAUUGUGAUGUGGUACCUAUGCAAGCAUGUUCCUUAUUACUUGGUAGACCUUGGCAAUUUGAUAAAAAUUCUGUACACCAUGGUAGAAACAAUCACUAUACUCUUGUUCAUAAGGAUAAAAAUAUUACUUUGCUUCCUAUGACUCCUGAUUCCAUUUUGAAAGAUGAUAUUAAUAGAGCUAAUAAAGCAAAACAGGAGACGAAUAAAAGUGAAAAUCAGAUUGUGGCAAAAGAAUUUGAGCAACAAAUGAAGCCUAAUAAUAAACCAUCUAGUGUUGCUUCUGAAAUUAAAUUGAAAAGUGCAUGUUUAUUUGCCACCAAAUCUGAUAUUGAUGAGCUAGAUUUCAGCAAAUCUGUUUGCUAUGCUUUUGUGUGCAAAGAGGCAUUAUUUUCAUUCGAGGACGUGCCUUCCUCUUUGCCUCCUGCUGUCACUAACAUUUUGCAGGAGUUCGCUGACGUCUUUCCACAAGACGUGCCACCGGGAUUACCGCCUAUUCGAGGGAUUGAGCAUCAAAUUGACUUAAUUCCCGGUGCUUCACUGCCAAACCGUGCACCAUACCGUACCAAUCCAGAGGAGACGAAGGAGAUUAUGCGUCAAGUACUACUUGAUAGAGACGAGGGUCCCGAUCUUUCGAUGAGAUGAUAACUAUCGAUUUGAUGGAGACGACUUUCACGAUCCGACUACAAAUGUGCACGACGUUGCACCUUAGCAAUCGCUAAACCGAUCUCCUGAGGUUACUGACGAUGCUGGAAGCACGGUCAGCCUGACCACGAAGGUCUAUUCCUGCAAGCAAUCGAAGAACGAGCAAGAAUAUGAUAAAGCAAUCUGAAUAUUGCAAAUAUAUAUGAAGUAUUGAUAAUGGUGGGGAUCCGGAAGCGGUCUUGGUCUGGUCGUUGGACACAAACGAAGUACACGAAGUUGCAAUGGCUAACUUUUAACUAAACAAAUCCCAAAGUCUAAACGAUGCCCUAAGGGCUGUAUAUAUGGAGGAAGAGGGGGGGAAUUUCGUGGCCCUUGGUGGAGGAGUCCGAAAUCAACCCUAUCUCUUGUUUCCCCACACAUACGGACUCUAAAAAUAGCCUAUACUUAUGUAUUUCGAAAUUACAUGGGCCUGGCCCAAUAAUAAGGUGACGCAGCACCUAAAAUAGCCUCGGGACGAAAUUUAUGAAGUGGCAUCUUGUAUAUUUCGUCCAAGGCUUCAUGCACCCAUUAUGGUGGCUUCAAAGUCCUGAAAUCAUCACUUGUAACUCCGUUCUUGUUCCCCUUGCGCAUGCCAUCAUCUCCAUGCUUGUUCUUGCUCCAAUGUUCAUCCUUCUCCAAGCUAGGCCCUUCAUUUGUAAGCAAAACAAAUGUAUCCAAUUUAGGCAGCAUCAUAUUCUCAUGAACAUUAGAAUCAUUACCAAGAAACGAAAGUACCUGGUAAUUUAGUUGGCGUGCACGAGCUCUAGUAAUUGGUCCAGUAUGUAUAGCAGCAGGGGCUGUGGGUGUAACAAUUGUAUUGAUGUCCUCAUCAGAAUUCACCUUGUGUCCAAUGGCGCAUAGUCGAGGUCUCAUCUUAUGUAUCCUUGGGGCUUGGAGAGUAGUCGGAGUGUACAUGGGAAUGAACGUGGGAUGCUCCGCAUCAAAACACCAUCGAGCGCCAAGUACAACGACUAGCGACCAAGCUCAACAUCAACAAGCAACCCAUGAUCUUCAGCAUAGGCGAUCUCGUGUGGCUACACCUUCGCAAGGAACGCUUCCCCAACGAACGCAAGUCCAAACUUCUACCUCGAGCCGAUGGACCCUUCAAGGUGUUAGCACGCUACAACAACAAUGCCUACAAGCUCGAUCUACCAAGCGACAAGUACAACAUGAGCGACACCUUCAACGUCAAAGACCUCUCGCCUUUCCAUGGUGAUGAAGAUCUUGAUCCGAGGUCGGAUCCUUUUGAAGGGAGGGGAUAUGAUGCGGAGCAUCCUUCCAUCAUCCCCAUGGACUCUACAUCAACACAUCCAACCCCACAAGGACCUAUGACUCGAGCACGUGCAAGAGCUCUUGAAACCGAGGUGACAUCACUCCUCUCACAAUUCCCUUUCGAUUCACAUGAGACAUGGUUACUACCUCAAACGAAAACGCUAUGCAUACUCAGGUACCAAGGAGUUAACCGUGAAGAAGCUAGGAAGCAAGGAGAACCAGAAGCGAAAGACAUGCAUGAAGACGGAGAGGAAAAAGCACCAAGGCCCAGGAUGGCCGGACUAUCCGGACGGCGGCCUGGACGAUCCAGAUAAAGCCCGGACGAUCCGGCUAACUCACCUGAAGACUCCCGAAGCUCCCACCUAAAGCCGGAUCAUCCGGACCCAGUCCCGGAUCAUCCGGACCCUGCCCGAACAUCCGGACCACCAGCCGGACAUCCGGCCCUGCGCCGCCACCAGUUGGGCAUCUAGCUCAUCCGGGCCUCCAUCCGGACCAUCCGGACCGGCCCGGAUCAUCCGGCCCCUGGCUCGGAUCAUCCGGCCAGCGCCUGCGCGCGCGUGUUGGGCUGAGCCCAUGUACCCCUUUGCCCCCUAGUCUAUUUAUAGGACCCCCUCUCCUCACUUUGAGACUUAGCAUUGGAUUAGCUCAUAUUUGUGUGAGAGCCUUUGCUCAUCCACUUGGAUACUUCUUGAUGCGGAGCAUCCUUCCAUCAUCCCCAUGGACUCUACAUCAACACAUCCAACCCCACAAGGACCCAUGACAAGAGCUAGAGCACGUGCUUUGGAAACCGAGGUGAACUCCUUCCUACUAGACUUGCAUAUGAACCCAAAUGGAACGUGUAUACUACCUCACCAAAAUGUGCUAUGCCUCCUUAGGUACGAAGAGGAACACCACCAAGGAGCUCAGGAGCGUCCCCAAGAAGAAGGAGAACCACCCCAAGGCCACGAGGACCAAGCACGAGAACAACAGCAGCAGCACAGGAGGCUCCAGGCAACCCCGUGCGCACGGGCCCCCAAGACCCCGUGCCCACGGGCUACUCAGGGAGUUGACGCUGGAGCACCUCGUGCGCACGGGCUUGUAUCGUGCCCACGGGACCCCCGUGCGCACGGGCCCAACUUACCCCGUGCGCACGGGCCUCCCAGGAUGGACGGCUAUGAUGAUGACUUCGGCUCCACUUCUCCUCCUUCGACCCCAAGCCUAUAUAAUUCGUACCUAGGGCCAUGUUUAGGGUUAGCAAAGUAUUAGAUGAGAUCUUGGUGAGCUUUGCUCCAUUACCUUCCCUCUUUGAGGAUCAAGACCCCAUAGGGAAGAAUCCUUGAGGAUUUCAAGACCUCCAAUAGGAGAAGACUAUCUACUACCACCAAGACCCCUCUUCCUUUGGAUUUGGGAUGAACUUUGCCAUUGUAUCUUUCCUUUGAUUGUGUUUGAGACUUGUGGAUCUUGUGUUGUUACUCUAGUGUGAUGAGGACAUCAAUACCACUGUUACACCCACAGCCCCUGCUGCUAUACAUACUGGACCAAUUACUAGAGGUCGCGCACGCCAACUAAAUUACCAGGUACUUUUAUUUCUUGGUAAUGAUUCUAAUGUUCAUGAGAAUAUGAUGAUGCCUAAAUUGGAAUCAUUUGUUUUGCUUACAAAUGAAGGGCCUAGCUUGGAGAAGGAUGAACAUUGGAGCAAGAGCAAGCAUGGAGAUGAUGGCAUGUGCAAGGGGAACAAGAACGGAGUUACAAGUGAUGAUUUCAGGACUUUGAAGCCACCGUAAUGGGUGCAUGAAGCCUUGGGCGAAAUGUACAAGAUGCCACUUCAUAAAUUUCGUCUAGAGGCUAUUCUAGGUGCUGCGUCACCUUAUUAUUGGGCCAGGCCCAUGUAACUUCGAAAUACAUAAGUAUAGGUUAUUUUUAGAGUCCGUAUGUGUGGGGAAACAAGAGAUAGGGUUGAUUUCGGACCCCUCCACCAAGGGUCACGAAAUCCCCCCCCCUCUUCCUCCAUAUAUACAGCCCUUAGGGCACCGUUUAGACUUUGGGUUUUGUUUAGAUUAAAGUUCGCCAUAGCUGCAACUUCGCGUACUUCGUUUGUGUUCAACGACCAGACAAAGGCGUCACAGAACCCCACCUUGAUCAAUAAAGCUUUCAUCUUAUAUUCGCAAUAUCCAGAUUGCAAUCUCAGUUUCUUGCUUGUUCUUCGUUUGCUCGCAGGAAACAAACCCUCGUGGUCAGGUUGAUCGUGCUCCGGCGUGGUCAAUAACCUCUCGGAGUUGGUUUAGCGAUUGCUAAGGCCCGACGUCCACGCACGUUCGUAGUCGGAUCGUCAAAGUCGACUUCCACCAAAGCGAUAUCCAUCAUCUCAUCGAAAGAUGGGACACCUUUGCCUCUAUCAAGUGGUAUAAGAUUUCCAGGUUGCUCACUGAGAUUUUACAGUUUUUCGUAGUUUAGAUCGAGUCUGUUCUUCAUACCUAUAGUCCACGAAAAAGCCACAAAAAAAUUAGGGUUAGUUCAUCCUAUCCGAACCAGUCUGAGCCAUUGCAUAAUCUUUUCUGUAUUUGCGUUGUUGAAUUUGCGGUUGCAUCGUCGUGUCUAGUUGCUGGUCUUAGAGUCUAGUCUUUUAGAGUUUCGAGUUCUGGUCAUAAGUUGUCACGCCGCCGCCGCACCAUCAUCAUCGCCCCUGCCAUCUACCACCACCGCUUAUCCGCCACCGCUUCGAAUCCGUAUCCAUAUACCACCAUCGCUGCCAUAU
RNAcentral lists this long non-coding RNA (79513 nucleotides) under Triticum aestivum (bread wheat). Its description in RNAcentral is "long non-coding RNA (TAES_LNC018690)". The record is from RNAcentral. Lineage: Eukaryota; Viridiplantae; Streptophyta; Magnoliopsida; Poales; Poaceae.